RNAcentral lists this long non-coding RNA (62851 nucleotides) under Fragaria vesca (wild strawberry). RNAcentral describes it as "long non-coding RNA (FVES_LNC002438)". The record is from RNAcentral. Lineage: Eukaryota; Viridiplantae; Streptophyta; Magnoliopsida; Rosales; Rosaceae.
CUAGCUGAAAUUUACCCUUUUUACCGUCUUAAAAUAUUUCGUCUACGAAUAAUUUCUCCGAAAUAAUCGUCCCUCAAAACACCUCUAGGGACCUUUGAAACUAUAAACUCAUUAACGAAGACGAUAAAACUCUUAUUAAUACCAAGCUAGUAAUUAGAAUAAAAAAAUUUAAGAGUCGAGAUGUGACAGUUGAGUAACGAGUUGGAAGGUCACAUGUAUUUGCAGUGUUCUUUUUCCUUAUUUAAUGAGUUGUUGGCUUAUAUUUGAGUGGCAAGUUGAGCCUUUUUGUGGGUAUUUAUGAUAGAGAGGACAUGUUUGUGAACAAAGGAUUAGGCAAAUUCUAGAUAAGAUUGGUAUUGGAAUAAGAGAUAUCAUAAGGGUGUUAAGUAAGUGUUGUCUUGCUUUGAGAUAAAUAGUUGAGUGGUAUUGCUUGAGUUAAUUAAUUAUGGACUUUAUUGGAUGCGUUAAAUGAGGCUGUUAAAGUUUGGUUUAUGCAUUGAAGUUGGGUUUUUGAAAUUGUUACUGGUCGAUUUACGUUUGGUAUCUGUAAUGUGGGAUUCGCCCUCCUACUUCUGUUGAGUGUUUUAGAUGGAUUGUAAGUGUAAAGGGAUUUGAAAUGUAAUAGUAAAGAGGAUGUGAGAUGGUUGUGGUUGCUCCGACUUUACGGCAACAGAUGGAGAAUUUAAUACAUGAUGUUGUUGGGUUUUAUAAUGUUUCGUAAGACAAUUGUGUGGAGAUGUUGGAGUCUCUCUUAAACUUUAUUUUGUUGACCGGAGACUGAACUUGGGGAAUGAAUUGGAGAAGAGGGAAAGUGCAGCUUUUGUGUGUAGGUGUCAGUUUUGUCAAUAAGGAAAAAGAGUUAUAGAACAAUUCAGAAUAUGGAGACCGAAAUUGUAGAGAUUGAUCGGAGCGUGGAUGAGUGUCCAUAUUUAUUUUAAGCGACAUUGUUUUGGGUUAGUUGAUACAAGCUAGUCUUGGACAAAAUAGUGUUUGGAAGCGACUUGUUCCAGCUUUUAGGUCUUUAGACUAUGGCAGGAGAUUACUGAUGAAUUUCUAUCGUCUAAAGGUAAUUUCAAUGUUCGAUAUCUUUAGUCAUUGGUGUUAGCAAGGUUGAAUUUGUAAGUUUGAAGUGGUGGUUGGUUAGGAAAUCGUGGUAUCGGGUCGAGUGAUUGUUAAGGAGAGAAGAGUGUCGGGAUAAAUUUGGAGUAGUAGUAUGUGUUUGACGAUACACAAGGAUAGAGCAGUAUAGUUGGAGUUGUUGAUCCUGAAAUAAUUGUUCUUUGCUUUAGCUAUUGUUGUUAGCUGAUGUGGAUAAUUCCUAAGAGGAUGAGUGAGAUGUGGAUCUUAAGGUAGUCUAUCCCAUGAUUGUAGCUUCUUAUUAGAGUAUUGCAGUGGUGAAUAUGACUAGUUGGGACUUGAAGUAGUUGUUAAUACUCUAUCAUAUUCGAGCAAUCUCGUGUUCCCACUUGAGCAUUACGCAGACGAUGUUGUGGUUGACGCACAGUCUUAAGAUGGAGCAUGUGACCGUCAAUUGACCAUUGCUCGAGGGUUAGCCCAUGAAUCGAGGAGUAUUUAUCUUUGGCAUCUAGCAACUUCGGCGACUUGAGCGUUGGACUCCAGUCUUGCGCUCGCAUCUUCUUUGGACAUGAUGGACCUGCGUGAUCAAACUAGUUCGAUCUAGCAAUCAAAUAGAAGAAAGGAAAUCACUUUACAUUAGAUGGGGGCAUCAUGAGCGGACUACCUAGUGUUGUUUGAUAGACUGCCAACAUCAGCUGUCUCGACACUCGAUUCGGUCAAUUUUGAGUUUGUAUUUUGUUUGUUAAUACGGUUAUCCGAUGGGUAACUUAGAUGAUUUGACUUUAGAGUUGAUGCGAGAAUUUCUGUACUUUGACAACUAUUAUUUUAUAUGAUUUACUUAUGGGACUUCGACAUUCGUUAACAACAACGAGAAAUUCAUGGGCAAAGCUCUACUCAGGAAACACGAAUAGGUUUUCGUGAUCCUUGGCUUCUUUAGCAACACAUAAUUAUGUGGAAGAAGUACAACUUAACGACGAUUUUUCUUAACAUUAUGCGUAAUGGCGGGGCCGUUACCCGAAAUUUCUUGUUCAUCAACUUGAGUUGAUAUACGCAAUCGCUAUUAUACAUGAUAAUAUGUGAGAUGGAAGUAAUCAAAUAGUGAACUUCCAAUGGUGAUCCUCAGAUUUCAUCGACUCGCGUGAGAUUCACUAUUUCGAUUUUUCCUCCGUUCGACAGACUAGUAUUAUUAAGGCGAAGGUGAUAAUUGCAGACACAUGUGUUGUGGUAAAGCAACAUGAAUUGUCGCAGCAAAUAGUGAACAACUCAUCUCUUCUUGUUCGUGGAAUAGGUAUUGUAACCUAAAGACUGGACUACAUGCACGUUAGAAUGAACUUGGUUCGUAGGAGCAGAUACUCUUAACUUCUAAGGUAUCGUCAUAUGCCAAGUCAUCAUGUUUUUCCUCAUAUUUGGAGGUGCCAGUUUUGGGUACGUUGAUCGGUUAUGAGGGUAAUAUUUUUCGUGUGCUUGUAAGUUGUUUGUUGGUGGCGACUGUUAAAUUAUUAAUGAGGGAUGUGAUUCCGUCGGUUAUUAUUGGUUGUUGAAAUUAUGAAACUACUUGGUGACUGAGGAUUUAGGCAUCUACCUACUCUUGCAUCAUAUAGCUUAAAACAAAACCCUAAAGGUCGCGAGUCUCUAAUAUUUUGAUAUAAGCAACAAUUCUUAUAGAAAUUAAAAACUCAACACCAAUCCAAUAAAUAAGUAAUCAUCCAACUAAAAACAUCAAAUAGUCAUGUUAAGGAUCCAUUAUGGCCCUAACAAAAGAUUUAGCUACCAAAAGUCAUAACAAACACAAUAAUAACAAUGAAAAACAUAAAAAGACUAAAAGGGAAAAAGGGAUGAAUAUUGGUAAUGACGGUUGCCUUAAGUAUGUCUCGUCCCAGAAGCUCCUUCUCUAUGAAAUUUGGGGCUCUUUAUAUAAGGGAGAUUUCCUGCCCAUCUUUGGCUUCAAGUUUCCUUGUAAGACUUGAAUUCAGACUUCUUUCUUGAUAUAGAAUGGGAAAACCUUGAGAUAUCUCUUGUAGAACUAGGAAUACAUGUACUUCUUGAAUCCUCAUAUGCAUUAUUGUCCUUGAAGCAUUAGAGUUGAUGAUCUUGUGCCAUGGAACUUGAGUUCUCCACAAAUUCUUGCAAAUCCGAGCAUAUUUUCUGAUCUGACCUAUCUUCAUUAAAACUAUCAUAACUCGGUCUAGAAGUAUCGAAAUUGAGAUCCGUAAACUUCUACAGAAAGUAGACAUCUGUAGCUUUCCAAUGAAAUAAGGCUUAUAUUCUGAUUUGAUCUGAGUAAUUCCGGGUAAUUUGGAGAAGUUGGAUGUUCUGCAUAGGUAGAUUCUGAGACUUGGGAUUGUAGUGGCCUUUCAAUCCUUAUUUGCGCAUUUUAGCUCAUUUUCUUCUCUCUACGACACAAACCUAUAAGAACACUAAAAUAACAUAAAUAAGUCAUAAAGAAGAGAACUAAACACAAAUCUCAAACAUAAGAGACUUAGAAAUAUAGGAUAAUAUCAGCAUAUCACAAGGCUUGACAGUCCGUUGGCAUAGAGGGUAAGUUGUGUAGGACACAUUAAAUGACUUUCUUGUGAUGCGUAUUCAUACGUGAUCGUAUUGUGGUGAGACCACUUUUGAUCCGUGUAGGACCUGGGAUCGGAGGUCAUUGUUGUAUGGAUAUGAUUUGAGAUACAAGAGAUAUUCAGUGUAAGGGUUUGGUAACAUUGAUCGCUUUAGCAUAAUCUGGCGACAAGGGAGAUAUUCACCAAUUAGCAUGACGAUUGAGGCGAAAGAUCGAGUUUUGUCUUGAUUAAUUGGUGACGAAAGUAAGAUGGUGUUGUGAAUUACGAAAUUUAUUGACCAUUUCGACUUGACGAAAGUCGAAGUUGUACGUGUGACUUGGGGUUGAGUAUCAUAAGUAGCUAUAAUUGGGCAAGCCACACAAUUAGUGGAAGGUAAGUCAAGGAGCAAGGUGUAUUAUGUGAGUGGUGUCAUGUGGAACAUUGACGGAGUAUUUCAGUUUACCCUAAGUUUGAGAUUUGUUAAAGCAUAUGCACUGUCACACCCCAAUUUUUGAAAGAUAAUUUUCAAAAUUUUUGGCAUGAUAUAUCUUAAAAUAUUACUAUCCCAAAACCUGCUUCAUUCAAAACUUCAAUGAAACUAAAAUUCAAUGCGGAAAUGUAAAUGUCGCACAACUCAGCACUGAGUUAAUUUCUACAUUUUCUUGUUUACAUAAACUUGAAAAUCAAGAAAAUGAACACACUCACAUGAGUUUUAACAAUGUCUACCCCAAAAAUAAAAUAUACAGUGAACAACAAAUCCCAACAAAAACCCUGCCACUAAACCUCCGUCUCAACCCUGCUGAUCCUCACCUGCAGGUCUAACCCCUACACCAAGAAUUGGUGCAUCGGGUUGUAAACAACAAACCCGGUAAGCUAAAAAGCUUGUACGAGUAAAUUCUCAAAAUAACACAAUAGCAAUUUAGAUCAGUAAUUAAAUCUGCAAUUCCAACACUAUUUCAAAUAACAUGUACCCAUGAGUCUUAGGUAUUAAUAAAUACCCCUAAUGACCUACAACAACAACUUGUGUACCCAUAGGUCCCAGAUACCAUAAGGUAUCUCCCAUGACCUACACUGACAGACGGACUAGAGCUCUAUUCCUAACCGCAACCAAUCACCCGGCCAAAGGUUUGGAACCCGGUUUGACUAUCCAAUAUCAAAACACAAAAUGAUAAAUAACAUCUUAACCGCAACCAAUCACCCGAUUAAAAGCUUGGAACCCGGUUUGGCUAUUUAUCCAACAAUCACAAUAUCACAACAUCAUCAUCAACAACACAAGAUCACAUCAUAAAUUAUAUCCUUCACAUAGAUAUAUUUACAUUAACAAAUAUAGAUAUUCACAAAGAUAAUCUAUCAAUAAUCAUUAAAAUUAUGGUCACAUGAACCUCAAAAAUAGCAUAUAAGGAAAAAUUGUUUUAUCUUACCUAUGAGCCGUUGGCGAUCAAGCUCAUCUAUUUUUUUUAAAACAAUUAAAAGCAUAUUAUUAAAUCCAACAUCAUCAUCAUCACAUGACCAUAAUAAAAUUUGGUUCAAAAAUGAACCUUGGUGAGAUUUUACUCACCUCAAUAUUCCGCUGCGUUUCCGCAAGGCACAAAAAUAAAGCUAACCACAACCUCACAAAACACCUAAAAUUACACAAAUAAAAACCUUAGUAAAUUCUCAACAAGGAACAAAUACCCUUAACCUAAAGGUUGCCCAAAGAAGGGCAAUCCUUCCUCCAAGACCUCCCAAGGUCAUUGGACACUCAACCAACAAACCAUACUACCUCCAAGAACAAGUUUUCAAAGUUUAUGACCUAAGAAACACCAAGAACAACAUAGCACCUAAACUACCAAAACCAAAACACCACUUAGCCUUCACACACAACAACACAUUAGUAGCUAACAAGGACUAGCUAACACGGCAACCAAAGCCCCCACAUUGCCCGGACGUGCCCCUACGCGCCGCCACGAGUGAGCCCCACGCGCCACCACCAAACUCAAUAUUUGAGAAAACUCAAAACAUCAAAGUUGUAGAUUGAAAGGAGGGAAACAUCUUUUAUAGCUAAUAGUUGAGCCAGUUUGGCCGGAAUCGGCUGGAAAACGCCCCAAAAUCGAAACCCAAACCUGCAAAUCCGGGCUCAAAACCUCAAAAACUUGCUUCAAUCUAUGCCUAGCCAUAACUAGAAGGAGGAGAGGAUCAAAACGCACCUAAGGUUGCCCCUUGUUGCCGCUGUAUAUGGCGGUUCCGACCGGUAGCACAGCAGCGCCCUUUGCCGGCCAAAAGCUUCGUUUCCAACGUGCUACACCGAGCAGCAGCUGCUCAGACUUGAAGAGGGCACCUGUGGGAGUCGAAUGGAACCGGCGGCGGUCCAAUCGGUGUCCGGAUGACGGAGAUAGCUCCAGUCAAAGUUUGGUGUGCGGGUGAGCUCGGGAGCGGGAGAGAGAAAAGAGAGAGAACUGACUUAGGGUUCCCCAAAAUUAACUCCCACACACAUUUUUCUACUUAAACACUUUCCAAACCCGCAAAUUAACUUCUUCUGACCAUAACUUUCUCAUACGACAUCCGUUUCAGGCGUGCCACAUAUCUACGAACUCGUAUCGACAAACUCUACAACUUUCAAGAAGGAAGUUUUCGAAGAUAACUUACGGAAAAUAAAGUCAACUUUUAGCCUCUUAAAAGUCAAAGCACCUUAAAAUUUACUCCCGAAACUUCAACUUCGCACAAACUAAGAAAUUUCCAUAAAUAAUCCUUCAUUAAUAUGGGAAUAAUACAAGGAAAAUUUAUAUGAAAAUAUAGGGUAUUACAUGCACGCCUCGGGUUUGGCAGAUAUGUUACGACGUGCCAAUGUAAGCGGAAAAAGGAUUCGGUUAAUUGUUUCCACAAGUAAAAAAAAAAUGUGUACUUUGUGGUAGAAGAAAGUUUGAAGAGCAUUGUUGUUGGUACGAUUUUAGCCUAGCGCUUAUUGGAGUCUGAGGUGAAAAGAAGUAAUCUCUACCCCUUUAUAAGGAGGGGAGAUUGUAACGCCUCGGACCUUAAUUGACCCGUUUAAUUAUCGUCAGUUGGACCGUAAACGACUUCAUUUUUACUUUUACCCUUUCUAAACAAUUUAAGGCUCCAAAAGUUGACUUUUUCUUUCGUUCAAAAUUUGGGAAAACUUCCUCCUUGAAAGUUGUAGAAGACGUUAAUACGAAUCCGUGGACAUGCUAUAUGUUAAGAUCGGAGUUCGGGGGUAUAAAAAUGGCAACUUACUGUUUGAGGUAAGGUAGAAAAUCAAAAACUUACCUUCUCCUUCUCUCUCCUCUUCCCGCGUCUCUCUCCUCCGCCGGAUUCCGGGCCUCCGUCCGGCCGAGUUAGGCGGCAAGGUGGGUAUCAAAUCGAAGCUUGGACCAUCCUCCAUCAAUCUGGGUAGGUUGCUGGACCUAUCUCGUCACCGAGAAGGAGAAACCACGCCGAGAAGAUGCAGCUGUGUGUGGUGGAGUUUCGCUGGAAACUUCCUCCUCCGGCCACCAUCAUUGGAGAUUCUUGUACCAACUUGAAGCACUCCUUUCGGGUAGCAAACCCUCAAAAUAAUUCGACCUAUUUCGAUCUAGGAUACGAGGAGACCUCGCUUAGGUGGCGAUUCAGGUAUCGUCUGGUUUAUGCCUAAAUUUGUGAGUGGACACUUUGUUUUUAAAGGAAUAUGCAUGCAUGAUUUAUUUUGGAAAUUAUCGUUCUAUUUUCCGAGCUUAUAUUAUAAUUUCGGUUUUAUAAUAUGGUUUUGAGAUUUAUUUGAGUUUGAGGCAUUGCUUAAGUGUGGUCAUGAUUUAUGGAUUUGAGCUCGGGUUAUUAAUUGGUAUUUGAGUUUUGAUCUUCUUUAUGAUUUCCGAAUUUAAUUAUUAUUGUUUUAUUUGUUGACUUUGAGAUUUAUAAAAGAUUUUCGAAAAAUGAGAUUUUCGGUAGUUCUCUAUUAUAAUUUUAUCGUUUAUUUUAUAUUUCACAUCAGAUUUUAUAAGUAUGCUUAGUUACAAAAACAUCCAUCAAUUAUUAGGGAAAAAAAAAAAAACUAGCCUCUUCCUUAAAACCUCUCAACUAUUACUACGCAUCAAAAGAAAAGAAAUAAAAACCUCUUCUCUAAAAUUCAUCACCUGAAUUUCGACUACUGGCGUAAUCACAUAUGUACUAUUUACCGAAUCAUUUGGUUUUUUUUAAAUUUUUUUUUAUCAACUUUAGUUUUUAUCUUGUAGACUAAAAACUAGUUUAAUUUUGAAUUAAAUUUAGUUUACCCCACUGUGGUUUAGCGGUGAAUUCAUGUUAGUCCCUAAACUUUCAAUUUCAUCAGAUUACCCCCCGAGCUCUUAUUUUUCUUUCUGCAGUCUCCUAUUACUCAUGUUCCGUCCAAUUGGGAUGUUGAAAUUUGAUGACGUGUGAUGACGUUUUGGGGGGUUGAGAAGAUUACCAGAAAAAAAAAGAGCUCGGGAGGUAAUCCGAUGAAAUUAAAAGUUUAGGGACUAACAUGAAUUCACCUCUAAAUCACAAUGGGGUAAACUGAAAAAAAUUAUGUAUGUUCUAGUAUUUUUAUUUUCUUCAAAUUCUAGCCGAUUAAUGUCAUAUUGAAGAUUUGGAGUUCGAAUAUAAUAUUACUCUUUUAAUUAUAAAUAGAAAAAUAUCAAGAAAAAAUUUCUAACCUAAUAAAAAAAAAAUCUAACAGCAAAUAAAAGAGAAUACGUAAAGAGAGUUGUGAAAUAGUAAAUAUGUAAUAAUUAUAUUAAAUAACAUAUUAUUAUUAGUUUUAGAUAUUGAGGGUAUUUUAGGCAGUUUGAGAUGUGUAUUUAGUAUAAUAUUUAAAUGAAAAACUAGAUGGGUAGUGUAUUAAGUAAGGGGUGUGUAUUAAGAGAUUAAGGAUGUGUAUUUAAUAUUACUCCCAUUGAAAGUAUGCUGGUGAUGGAAGAUACUGAAAAAAGUUUAUUGGAUAAAAUAGCAGACCUGGAUAGGGUGGCGCUAAUUAUCAAUCUCUGUAGAUGCAGGAUGUAAAUGCAACUUAAGUGUGACAGAAGCCAAAGGAUGAUCACUCUUCGAGUCUUGCAAUUUCAGUUUCAAUUAUGCCUUCUCAUAUUUGUUUAAGAUUUUGUAAAUAUUCAUAGUCUAAAAGAUUGCUAUGUGAUUAGUUUGGGUGUGAAUCAGUAAAAUGUUAAACAGAGACGUGUGACCAAAGAGUUUUUAUUUGAGCUUACGUAAAGAUUGAAGAAAAUGAUCUUCAUAGCAAACUAUACUUUGCCUACACAUGUCAAUUAAAAAACGAUUAUACACAUGCGUGAGCACGGCCCGAUGCGUGUACAGAAAGGCUAGUAGUAAAGUAAGUACAAGACAACUGUUCAUAAGGACUUGCCAAAAUGACAAUUCUGCCCUCAUUUACGUCAUAAUUACAGUCUUGGCAUCAUUCUCUAAAUUACAGUUUUGCCCCCGUUUUUCAGAAAUGGCGAUUCUGCCGUCACUUACGUCAUAAUUGCAAUCAUGCUAUCUCGCUCUAAGUUACAGUUUUUACCCCCCCCCUCCCGUUUUCUUACUUAUUUACGCUGCUCUCUCUCUCUCUCUCUCCCUCCCUCCCUCCCUCUCCCUCUCUCCCCACCCACGCCCGCAACGGAGCGCAGGUAAGCUACCUAGUACUUACUAGAGGGUGAGCUGUAUCGGUUCAAUCUGUCAAUUUGGAAUUAAAUAACUUUUGGGUGCUUGAAUAACUAUGGCAUCUGUGAGUAGGCUGACGAUCUUGGCCUAAAUAAAAGUGCAAUCUAUAAUGACCCACGCUCUGUAGGUGGUUUACGCUCUGUUGAAGAAUGUCAACAAAGAGCAUAUUGGCCUAAAUAAAAGUGUAAUUCAGAAAGAGCUAGAUUCUCUGACAAAGAAACAUGUAUUUGGUUUGGUAGUGCUUGUCAUGACCCAUCCCGAAUUUCAUCCUAAAAUCCAGUGUAAAUCUUGCGGGAUCCACCUCAAGGAAAACUUUACUUAAAAUUUGGCAUAACCACGAUCCUACCUGCUAACCAACAAAAACACUUCUAUAUUCGAAUUAAUCCAACCACAACACUUGAAGCCAUUCUGCUCCCAAUUUCACAUUAACACCGCAACACAUCUUAACUAAUUUAAAAACAAUCCCAAAGGUAAUUACCAGAACAAAUCUAAUAAGGAAGGAAAAACAUAGAUAAGAGAGCAAGCGAAAGCGGUAUUAUUGGUUAUGCCUCAGCUCCUUGUACGCCUGACCUCUUCUAAGUUAACCUGCAAUCUGAGCAUUUGAAACCGAAUGGCCCAAGGAAAACAGAAUUGAAAAAACGUUAGAGUGAGUGGACAAAAAUAAAUAGAAGAACUUAACAAAAACGUAAUUUAAAUACUUUCCCAUGUUUAAAAUCGUAAAAACUGUAGUGCAUGCAACUUUCUGAAUCAUUUAGCUUAACGUCCAAAAAUCUCGUAAGAAAAAUAAGCCAGCCCCGGUGGUUAAUCAAGUACAUAAAUGAGGAAUAAUACAAGAAGAAGAGAUAUCACCAUAUCAAAGAGGAGCCUCCCAGACCUGAAUCAAAGUGGAAAAAUAAGAUUCGAACCAAUCCCAUUGGUUUGAAUGAAAUAUAAAAAGGGAAGAAUUUUCACCAUAAAGAUGAGCCUCUCAAGCUAGGGUCAGAGCCUCCCAAGCUCUAGUAGCGACCCACGUUAAGUGCUUGACUCACCUAUGGUGAGGACCACAUAUAAAGGCUAGCUAGCAAUAAUAAAUGUAUAACAACCUUUAUAUAGUGAAAUAAGAAGGUCAAAUAGAGCUCACGAGAAAAGUAUCCUGGCCCACUAGAUAGAGCUCACAAGAUAAGUAUCCUGGUCCAAUCGACCAAUGAAUAUAUCAACACUCAUUGACUUGUCUCGCAUGUCAAAAUAUUCUCGAAUCUAUGAUUAUAAGCAAGAUUAAAUUAUCAAGUAUAAAUCGUAAUUAAAUUCUCAAACCGAAAUUCUCGUUAAAAUAUCUCAAUGUCAAGAUCAAUAACCCACAAAUAUAUGAGAAAAUUAUGAUGGAGAACUACCGAAAAUCCAAUUUUCGGUAAUCUUUUAUAAAUCUCAAAGUCGACAAAUAAAAAUUAUAAUUAUAGAAGAGAUAUUUAUAAAUUAAAUUGUUGCAUGCAAUUUAUUUAAAAUAAAAGCCCACUCACAGAUUUAGGCCUAAGCUCAAUGACAUCCGGAACGCUAUUCGUGUGAGGUCUCCAUGUAUCCUAGUUCGGAUCAAUUCAAUUCCUUCUGGGGUUAUGCUAAACGAGCCAUAAGCUUCAAAACCCGGUACUUGUCUCCCGGAUUGAUGGCUGGAAAAGUGAGAUUUCGACGAAAGAAGGUUAUUGUGCAGACGAGGCUUCUUGACUGAGUUUCUCUCCUAUGGUGGCGUUAUGGAGUCGAUCACCAACCCAGAUCAAUGGACGAUGUCCUAAGCUUCAUUUCGGCCAACUCGGCCGGACGGCGUUGAACGGCAGUGAGGAAUCCGCUAGAGGCGAGAGAUGCGGGGAGAGGAGAGAGAGAGAGAGAGAGUUUCUGAUUCAAAACGAAAGUUUCCCAAAAAAGCAAGUCUCCCUUUCUAUUUAUAACUACUUCCUUAAGCAGUACCUUUAGGUUUUUAGACCGUAACUUCUUCGUACGAACUCCGUUUUGAACAUGCCCACGUGUCAAUGAACUCGGUUUAACGUUUUCUACGACUUUCAUGAAGGAAGUUUUCUCAAAUUUUAGACAAAAGAAAAAGUCAACAUUUAGAGCCUUAAAUAGUUCGGAAACAACGGUAAAAGUAAAGAUGAAGUCGUUUACGGUCCAAUUGACAGUAAACGGGUCAAUUAAGGUCCGGGGCGUUACAGUGCUAACCGUACCAAGUGUAAAGCAUGUAGGACAUAAAUAAGACUUUGUCAAAAAGCGUAAUGAGAAGAAUGAAGCCCUAAAAGACAAGACUCGUCUUGUGGCGCCAAGGUUUCUCGCAACAAUCUAGAUUGACUACAAGAAGACAUGUUCUCCCAUAAUGAAAAUGCAGCUCAUAGAUGUGAUUACUACAUAUCUUCAUGGGGAUCUUGAUGGAGAGAUAUUUUAUGAAAGUGUUUGAUGGCCUUACGCUAUCUAACUCAAUUAACUCUAAACCACGGAGUGCGUUUGCAAUUAGAAUUGAACUAACUUUAUAAAAGUGACUACUUGGUUGGAAAGGGGUACAAAUGAUGAACUAUGCCCAUGCGUACUCAUAAAGGAAACGAGUUCCGGAUUUGCAAUUAUAGCUAUCUAUGCUGAUGAUAUGAACAUAGUAGAUACUUUUGAUGAAGUAAGAGAAACCUCAAGCUAUUUGGAAUCCGAAUUGAGACGAAUAAUCUUGGGAAACUCGGUUAACAACGAGUUUGUGGAAUACUAAUCCACCAGUCUGCAUGUGUCUGACCAAAAGAUUCUUAGGUGAAUUACUCAUAUGCUUGAUCACUACUAGCACUCCCAAUGAUAUGAAAUUUCUUCUCUAAAGUGCAAUAGGCGCAAUAUUGUACUUAACCCAAUGAACUUGACUGUAUUUUGCAUUCUCAAAGAACUUGUAGCUAGACUUAGCUUAGUGUCAACGCAGUGUCAUUGGAAGGUAUAAAGAACGUAUCCUGAUACCUAAAGGAACUACUGACUUGAGUUCAUUCCGGUAAUGCAAGGGAUCCCUAUAGAAAUAUAAAAGGGAAUGCAUAUGGAAUUGCAGCCCCCUACAUCAAUACACCAAACGAUGCUUUGGUUGGUUUUUACUAAUGUGAGGUAUCCAUGACCAAUCUGUCGUUUCCAAAUUGUUUAUGUAUUCACCUGUAGGAACACGACGAUACCUUGUGAGAAACAUCAGACUCUCCUCAAGAUUCAAGUGAAUCAAGAAAGGUCUGAGGAGAAUGGGACAAAUCUGUUUCUCAAAUCACAGCCUAAGGCUAUAUUUAAAAGGAAUGUAAGAAGCAGAGGAAUACGAAGACGUUCCUAGCUCCUUUGAUUGAUGUAAGGAUCAAGGGGAGUGUAGACUUCAUGGGGAGUCUAACACAAUACACUAUCAUAGGUAUGUUGUACUCUUUUUCCCUUCGGCCAAGAUUUAUUUUGUCAUACUAGGUUUUGUUACUUGCCAAGGUUUUUAAUAAGGCAACACCCCACGCACCGUUUUAACUUUGACUUGGCUUAAGGGGGAGUGUUAAAGGAAAAAUACGUUUGUGCCUUCGUGAAAGUAACUGAUGAAGAGCAAAUCAUGAGAUUAGAGGUAACCGAUCAAUCAUAUUUUAUUAGGUUUCGUUAUGUUGUACGUAACUUACCAUUGUAAUACAUGUAAUUCAUCCCAUAUAUAAGAGCAUCUCCAACAGCUCUUGUAAAACUAUGUUUAUCUCUAUUUUAGAGGAAAACCUACCCUUUUUUUUUAGCUCAAACAGCUCAUUUAAACCAUCAUCUAUAAUGACAAAAAAAAAAAAGUGAGAAGAGAGAGAAUAAGAUCCUUUAUAUCUAUAGCAUUCUUAAAAUUUGUAUAUUUCAUAGGCUAAUCUCUAAAAUUUAUUAUUUGCCUUUUAAAAAUCACUAUCUCCCCUAAACAAAAAAAAAGGAAAAAAAUGACAUUAUAUAUCCCUUUAGUGGAAAAUGGAGAAAUUAAAGCAUGUAACAUGUGAUUGUGAUUUGAAUAAAUAUAUAAUACUUAUUGUAAUACCCUAGAUUUUCAUAUCAAUUUUCCUUGUUUUAUUUUUGGAAUUAAAGAAGGAUUAUUUAUGGAAAUUCUUAUUAGAUGUGCGAAGUUGAAGUUUCGGGAGUAUUUUUUCUUAAGUGCUUUGACUUUUAAGAGGCUAAAAGUUGAUUUUAUUUUCCGUGAGUUAUCUUCGAAAACUUCCUUCACGAAAAUUGUAGAGUUUAACGAUACGAGUUCGUAGACACAUGGCACGUGUGAAACAGAUGUCGUAUGUGAAAGUUAUGAUAAGAGGAAGUUAGUUUCCGGGUGUGGAAAGUGUUUAAGUAGAAAAAUGUGUGUGGGUUAUUUUGGAAACCCUAACAUAAAUCAGUUCUCUCUCUUCCCACUCUCCUCACUCUCUUCUCUCUCUUCUCUCUCUCCCUCUCCCGAGCUCACCCACACACCACACUUUGGCCGGAGCUAUCUCCGCCGUCCGGCCACCAAAACGGACGCCACCAGUCCCGUUCGACUCACCCAAGCGUCCACUUCAUUUCUGGGCUGGUGUGGGGCAGUGCUGCAAGCCGGAAAUCAGAGCUUUUGGCCGGAAUUGAGAGCUGCUAUGUCUCCGGUCGGACUUGCCGUUUCCGGCGGUGAUGAAAGGUAUCCUUAGGUGAGUCUUGAUCCUCUCCUCCUUCUAGUGGUGGCUAGGCAUAGAUUGAAGCAAGUUUUUAAGGUUUUGAGGCCGGUUUUGCAGGUUUUGUAGUGUGAUUUGCUGGUUACUGUUCGGGGCAGUUUCCGGCUGGUUCCGGCCAAAUUUGGUCGAAGUCUUAGGUAUGAAAGUUGUUCCCCUUGCUUCAAGCUUCAACUUUGCUGUUGUGAGUUUCUCCUAAAUCAGAAGUUUGGGGUGGCGCGUGGGGCCCACUCGCCGCCGCUUGUGGUGGUGCGUGGCAGCGCGUCCGCUGUGUGGCAGCCUUAAUUUCUUGUGGUUAGCUAGUCCUUGCUGCUGUGAGCUUGUUGAGUGGUAGUAUGGCUAGAUUUUAAGCAAGGUUGCCAUGCUAGGACUUAAGUUUAUUAGUGUUGGCUUGGUUGGGUUAGAGUUUAGGUUUUGAAGAGUUGAGACAGCUCUAUUGUGUCGUUGAGUUCAACGACUUUGGGAAGUUGUCCUCCCUUGAGAUAAGGGUUAGUUUAAGGGUAUUGUGUUAUCCUUUACUGAAGGAGUUGUGUCCUAAAACAAUCAUUUUGAUGUAAUUAUUAUUGUAGUUAUUAUUAAUCAAAAUGGCAAGUUUAUUGUUCAUUGCUUAUAUUUAAUAUUUGAUUGAACAAGGUCCAAGGAAAUUGAGUUAAAGAGAAAGCAAUCUAAAGAGUUAGAUGUAUGAGACCUUUACUCUUUUACACUCUUAUCCUAAAUGUUCAUAGUCAUAGGAUUAUCAUUUGGACAUUGUUAAUCCGGAAAGACUAGCACAUGCUAUGUAUGCUCAAUAUGGAGGAUGAUAUGUCUCUUGUCAUUUGUGUAGAGACACUAAUACAAGUAUGUGAGUGCUCUUAUUUUAAAGAGUACACUGAACGCGAUCGUUAGAGUUCUUAUAUGAAGUUUUACUUACAUGUCAAACUUGAACUCUAAAUUGCAAUAAUACAAAUUAGUUUUUUGACCUGAGACACUAUGGUUGUCUUAUGAAUGAAUGGAUUUACUCUUGAUGAUGCAGUAACAUUAUGUCUCUUAAUGGAUAUGAUCCAUGCACUCAUUGGUGUAAUCAAUUCGCUCAUAGAGACAUGUGAGUGUACAAUAAGGAAUCUCUAUCCUUAAGUAAAUAAGGUGUAUGUUCAAAGAUGUGAUUCAAAUAGUCUUUGGCCAAAACAUUGAAUACGAUUAAAAGAAAUUUAUAAUCACAUUCUACGAAUCACAUUAGGGGAUUGACAUACUACUUCUAUACCCCGAUGAUGUGAUUUAGAACAUCAUAUUAGAGAAGAACCCAAUUGUUUAGGUUCCUUGUCAUUCUAUAUUAACUAGGGUAGUCAUGAUAUGUAGCAAGACGUCACUCAUGACUUGUGAAGUCCCCGAGGAUUGAUAAACGUUUAUAAUCCUAAUAAGAAGGGAGAAUCAAAAUGGAGUUUUGAUUCGUAAACGAAAUAGAAUUGUUCUACAAACUUCACUGCCUUGUUAAUUAAAACCUAAGAGAUCGCACACCAUAUAAGUGGAUCAUUGAGAUUGUAUAUGAAGAAGAUUAAACAAGAGUUGGUUAUGACCAAAUAUUAAUUAGAUUUAUUAUUUGGACAUAAUUAGGAUCUUCGGGUAAAACCAAGCUUAUUGGGCCUAACCGAUUGUCGGGCUUUUUUGGUAUGGGCUUAGGCCUCACUAAAGGCACAUUUUUAAAGCCCAAUAAUACCUAUGGACCAAUCAACUAUUUGGCUUUAUGAAAGUCAAUAUUUCACUUUAAUGUUGAAAUAGUUUCCAAUUAUAUAAAGUGAAAAGAUGGACAUAAGGUAAUAUGAGUUUUCAUUUCUAUCUCUAGUUGAUAGGAGAACUCUCUCUCUUUCUCCAUUUCAUAAGUUGGUAACAAAGGAAGAAAGAAUACUUGCAUACUUCUUUUAUUCCUUUCAUCUUCUUCAUCUCUUGAUUUACUUGGUGAAGAUCCUUAGAGGUCAUAUUAUUUUGUGGCUUUAAUUACUACAUCAAGGAAGAACUUACUAGCACAAGGAGUUCUUAAUUAAGGUGUAUCAAGGUGGAGGAAACACACACAAGGAGAGAUCAAGGAGAAGAGCUUUGGUGGUUCACUUGGAUCGGAUUGAAAUCACGCUCCAAGGGUGAGUAGAACAUAAACUCCCUCUUAGUUCUUCCUUACCAUAUAUGCUAUGUUUAUAUACAUAUCACAAUAAGCCAAGAUCAUGGGUUAAAGGAAUGAAAUUUAUGUUUAGUUAGUAGUUUAAUGGUUAAACUAAUUCCGCACUAAUUAAAAAGUUUUAUUAUCCAUCCAUUCCUUCAAUUGGUAUCAGAGCCUUUGGCUUAAUUUUGAUGUGUUAUAAACAUGGCUAAGUUUAUUAGUUGAUGUGAUUUUCUUAAGCUUAGGGUAAUAUGUAAUUUAGAUCAUAAUAUUUGCCUUAGCAUAAAAGUUAUGAAGCAUGUGAUGUAAGGUAGAUUUUAUGAUAGUUAGAAAAAUAUUCUAGAAAUUACAUAUAUGAAGUGGUUAAAGUUUAAUUAAACUUUAGUGCAUAUGAGAUAUGUAUUAAGGGGUUGCAUGUUUCUUUAUUAAGGUGUUAAUUGUAGAAACAUGAUAGGUUAAUUAUAUUUAAGGGCGUACAUGAUUUUUUGGCUUCAAUGAUUAAGGAAACAAGAGUUCAAUGGAAGAACACAAAGCUGAAAAUUUUGUUUCCAGUUUUGGUACGUGAGAAAACUAAUGAUGUUUUCAUGUUGUUUCCUUCCUUAUUGACCCAUGUAAUCAAUUCCAUGUUUCCCUCACCAAAUACUUGGUAGAGUAAGUCAUCUUUACUAUUGAAAUGUGAUGACUUUCAUGCAUGUUCAAUCACCAAAAGUUGAUGCAUGAAAAGGAAGACAUGUCUCCCUAAAUCACUCACCAAUAGUUGGUGAUAAAAGAUAUAAGACAUCAUCCCUUAAAUCACUCUAAGUUCCAUCAAUCAAAUAGUUUGACAUGAUGAACAAUAAAAUCACUCAAUUAAUUUACUUGCAUUAAAUUAAUGUAAUUUAGUGAUUAAUUUAUUUUGAUUAAGUUAAUAGUACUUGUUUAAUUAACCUAAUUAAUCAUGGUUAAUUAAAGGAUGAUUAUGGACUAAGGCCUUAUAUAAUUGAGCAUGAGAUUAGCCGUCUAUUCAUUUUGAAUGAAUGAGGUUAUGUAAUUAAAGUAGUUAAUUCAUUUGGGUUUGUAAUAAAUUUAAUUUAUUCAUUUGGUUGUGUAACUAAGUAGUUUAAUUUAUUCAAGUUUGAUUAUAUUUAAGUGGGAGCUACUAUGCCCCUUAUCCAUACUUGUAAUCGAAGACGGAGGCACUUAAGGAUGGACUAAAGAAUGAGCUUGAAGUCAUAUAGGAGUUCAAGUGCAAAGUGUAAUAAAUUAGUUUAGCUUAGUUAUUUAAUUUCCGUAAUCGUUACGCGUAAUUAAAAUCAACCACACCCAAACAUGACCUUGAUCCAACAUAUUGGCUCCUGUUGGAUCAAACUUCAAGUCCAUAAUCAUCAUGUGUGCCUUAAUAUGAUUGCAUAUUCAUUUCACUUGAUUAAAUAAUUUUAUACUUCUCUUAAUUUCAUUGAAAAAUGUUUUCCAUGAAAUCAAAUUGUUUUUCGAAAACAAUAAGUGGGAGUAUAUUUACUAGAAAUCAAGUAUAAUGAACAUGUGAUUGCAUUAAUGUCAAAGCAAAUGCUAUUUGAUUGUUAAUAAUAAGAUUAUAAGAGAUGAGACCUUAAAACUCCCUCAAAAUGAUAUUAAGUUGAAAAACGAAGAAAGGAUUAUGAAUACUUCUUUGUGGCCUUCCAUCAUUGCAAUCUUUCAUUAGAUGUUCUUGCAUGUGAAUAUCAUUCCGAACGGAGGUAUUUCUUGCUAUGGAUAUCGAAAGGAGGUUAUUCGACAUUUGAUGUUGUAAGGUAGGGGACAAAUCUUGGUCAAUAUUCUAUUAUGAUGAGAUUUAAUUUUUGAUCCCUAUACUUACAUGAGAUGAUGGGCAUAACUUAACUAGAGUGAGUAGUCAAUAUCCUAUUAUGGUGAGACUUAAUUACUUUAGAGGCCAAAGUUAUGGAUAUUCACAUUUGAUGUGAUUGGAUAAGAGUAUCCUCUCAUUGAAAUUAAGUCGACCUAUAGUUCUAUUAUGAUUCCGUUGGCUUAGUGGAAGUGAGUCUUCCAUACUCGCUAAGAGUUUAUAAGAUCGACUCUCGAAUUCCGUGAGGGACUUGGAAUUUGUUAAAAUAGUGAGCGGUGCCAUUUGAUUCUUAAGACCUGAGUCAUUUGGUUUAAAAUUAAUCUAACUCACUUCAUUUUAUGUUAUGUAGAUUGCAAUAUGUCAGAACAUCCUAUCACCAAAAUUCUCAAUGAGAAUCGUCUUGAGGGCCCAAACUUUAAUGAGUGGCUCCGCAACUUGAGAAUUGUUUUGACAUUCGAUAAGAUCGCUUAUGUCUUACAAAAUGCACCUCCUCACACUCCUUUGGCUGAAAAUGGUGUUGCUUAUCAAAAGCACAAGGAUGAUGACACUCAAGCUAAGUGUGUUAUGCUUGCAUCUAUGAACUCACAGCUUCAGAAGCAACAUGAGAACUAUGAUAAUGCCGCUUCUAUAUUGCUUCAUCUGACUGAACUGUUUGGUGAGAGAAAUAGAAAUGUGCGCUUCACCGUCGUCAAUGAACUUGUCAAGACAAAACAUGUGAGGGGCACACCUGUGCAUCAACAUGGUCUCAAAAUGAUAGGUCUUAUUGAGCAAAUUCAAGACCUAGGAUUUGAACUUGAUGCGGAGCUAUCUCAAGAUCUUCUUCUAUCCUCCCUAGAUGAUUCAUUUUCUCAGUUCAUAAUGAACUACAAUAUGCAACAAAUGGAUCAUACUCUUCCUGAUCUUCUCAACAUGUUGGUAACAGCUGAGAAGCAAAUUAGGAAAGAGAGUGGAAGUGUGGCUAUUGUCACUUCAUCUUCAUCCACCAAGUCUAAAGGAAAGGGCAAAGGGAAGAAGAAACAAGUGGCAAAGCCUAAAGGAGCAAUCCAAAAGAAGAAGAAGAAGGAACAAAAGGAACCAAAAGGUGUUUGUUUCUUUUGCAACAAAGAUGGACAUUGGAAGAGGAACUGCAAGGCUUAUCUUGCAUCCUUGAAGAACAAGUCUUCAGAAGCAGGUAUGAUCAAUGUGAUUGAAUCAAUAUUUACAGUUAAUAAUACUUCCACUUGGAUAUUUGAUUCAGGUGCAUCUCACCAUGUUUGCACUUCGUUGAAGGACCUAGUGGGAGCAAGGAAGCUUAAAGCUGGAGAAAUCUCCCUACGUGUGGGAAAUGGUACAAGAGUUGAUGCCAAGGCCGUAGGGACUUAUAUUUUGAAGCUACCAUCAAGAGAUACAUUGGAGUUGAAGAAUUGUCUUUAUCUUCCUAUAUGUAUAAAGAACCUUAUCUCUAUCUCCAUGCUUUUGAAGGAUGGUUAUAGAGUAGUGUUUGAUAAACUAAGUGGGUUUGUAUCUAUUAAUGGACGUAUGAUAUGUCAUGCUAAUAUUAUUGAUGGACUUUUUCAUCUAGCUUUGGAUGCUAGUAUUAACUGUAUGAAGGAAAAUGCUUUGGGAUCCAAAAGAUCUCGAGAAACGGUUAACCCUAUUAAGAUGUGGCACCUUAAGCUUGGUCAUAUUAGCCAAGAUCGAAUUCACAAGUUAUCCAAAGAAGGAUAUUUAGAGUCUUUAGGAUCUGAUCCUAUGCCUACUUGUGAGUCUUGUCUAAAGGGCAAAAUGACUAAGUCUCAUUUUGGUGGACAAAGAACAAGGGUUAAAGAACUCUUGGGCCUAAUACAUACUGAUGUAUGCGGUCCAAUGUCCACUAUUAGUAGAGGUGGAUUCUCAUACUUCAUAACAUUUACCGAUGACUACUCUCGAUUUGGUUAUGUAUACCUUAUGAAGCAUAAAUCAUAAGCCUUUGAAAUGUUCAAAGAAUAUAAGAAUGAAGUUGAGAAACAAACCGGCAAGAGUAUUAAGGCUCUUAGAUCUGAUCGAGGAGGCAAAUACUUAAGCACAGAGUUUAGUGAUUAUCUUAAACAAGAAGGCAUUGUUUCUUCAUUGGCUCCUCCUGGAACGCCACAACUCAAUGGUGUCUCUAAAAGGAGAAACCGAACAUUGUUAGACAUGGUUCGUUCCAUGAUGAGCUAUACUGAUUUACCUAUAUCAUUUUGGGGAUAUGCACUUCAAACAGCAACUUAUUUGUUGAAUAGAGUGCCUUCCAAGUCUGUCCCACUUACACCAUAUGAGAUGUGGCAUGGGAAGAAACCGAGUCUUAAUCACAUUAAGAUUUGGGGUUGUCCAGCUUAUGUCAAGAGACUAGAAGCAGGUAAGCUUGAAGCUAGAUCAAGCAAGUGUUUAUUUGUGGGAUAUCCUAAAGAUAGUUUAGGCUAUUAUUUCUAUCAACCUGACGAACAAAAGGUGUUACUUUCCUUGAAAGAGACUAUGUCGUUGAUGGGAAUACUCAGCAAAUGGUAGAACUCAAGGAAGUGUCCGACAAGCCACAAGUUAACACUUCAAUUCUUGAUAAACAACUUCCCGAACCAACUAUAGCACAAACUCCAAGGAGAUCUAGUAGGAUCCGGAUACCUCCUGAGAGGUAUGGUUUACGUCAUGAAAGCCUUGGGGAGUUAAAUCUCCUUGGUGACAAUGAAAACUUACAUGAUCCUUCUACUUACACUGAGGCAAUGUUAGACAUUGACUCAAAGAAAUGGCAAGAGGCCAUGCAAUCCGAGAUUGACUCUAUGCAUACCAACCAAGUCUGGACUCUUGUUGACCCUCCACCUGGUAUUAGACCAAUUGGUAAUAAAUGGGUCUUCAAGAAAAAGAUAGGCUCAGAUGGUAAAAUAGAAACCUACAAAGCUAGGUUAGUGGCAAAGGGCUAUAAGCAAAGAGAGGGCAUUGACUAUGAAGAUAUGUUCUCUCCUGUUGCCAUGGUUAAAUCCAUUCGGAUAUUACUUGCUAUAGCUGCUCACUAUGAUUAUGAGAUAUGGCAAAUGGACAUAAAAACUGCCUUUUUGAAUGGCAAUCUUCAGGAAGAGCUAUAUAUGGAUCAACCUGAAAGCUUUGCGUCUAAAGAUAACAUUCAUAAGGUGUGCAAGCUUCACCGGUCCAUCUAUGGACUUAAGCAAGCUUCAAGGAGUUGGAACAUCCGUUUUGAUGAUGCAGUCAAAUCAUUUGGUUUCACACAAAACAUGGAUGAACCUUGUGUUUAUAAGAAGGUUAGUGGGAGUGCUGUUGUGUUCCUUGUACUUUAUGUUGAUGACAUCCUACUAUUUGGGAAUGAUGUAGGGAUGCUAUCUUCAAUUAAAGUUUGGUUGUCCAAGACCUUCCUUAUGAAGGAUCUUGGAGAAGCUUCCUAUGUACUAGGCAUAAAGAUCUAUAGAGAUAGAUCUAAAUGAUUGAUUGGAUUAUCUCAAUCCUUGUACAUAGAUAAGGUGUUGAAAAGAUUUCAUAUGGACAAAUCUAAGAAGGGUUUCCUGCCUGUAAGACAUGGCAUUCACCUUUCUAAGAAAAUGUGCCCACAAACGAUUGAGAAAGUGCAAAAGAUGAGCAAGAUCUCAUAUGCAUAAGCAAUUGGGAGCCUCAUGUAUGCGAUGCUAUGCACUAGACCUGAUAUUAGUUAUGGCGUAAGCAUAACAAGUCGAUAUCAGUCUAAUCCAGGUAUGGAACACUAGAAUGCUGUAAAGAAUAUCCUCAAGUACUUGAGAAGGACUAAGGAUUUAUUCCUUGUAUAUGGAGGAGGUGAUUUGCAAUCAGAGUUGCAAGUGGAAGCAUACAUAGACUCAGAUUUUCAAUCUGAUGUGAAUGACAGAAAAUCCACAUCAGGAUUUGUUUUCACCUUGAAUGGAGGUGCAGUAAGUUGGAGGAGCUGCAAGCAAGGCGUUACAGCAGAUUCCACUACUGAGGCAGAAUAUAUUGCAGCUGCAGAGGCUGCAAAGGAAGCAGUUUGGAUAAAAAAGUUCAUUACUGAACUUGAUGUUGUUCCUACCAUUGAGUCACCAAUUUCACUUUACUGUGACAACAAUGGGGCAAUUGCUCAAGCCAAGGAACCAAGGUCUCAUCAAAAAUCCAAACACAUUGAAAGACACUUCCAUAUCAUAAGAGAGAUAGUUAAUCGUGGUGACAUCAACAUUCUCAAAGUAGCAUCUGUUGAUAACAUAGGAGAUCCAUUCACUAAGCUUUUAUCACAAAUUAAGUUAGAACGACAUCUUGAAAAGAUGGGUGUACGUUUCAUGGCUGAUUGGCUUUAGUACAAGUGGGAGAUUGAAGGAGUUGUGUCCUAAAACAAUCAUUUUGAUGUAAUUAUUAUUGUAGUUAUUAUUAAUCAAAAUGGCAAGUUUAUUGUUCAUUGCUUAUAUUUAAUAUUUGAUUGAACAAGGUCCAAGGAAAUUGAGUUAAAGAGAAAGCAAUCUAAAGAGUUAGAUGUAUGAGACCUUUACUCUUUUACACUCUUAUCCUAAAUGUUCAUAGUCAUAGGAUUAUCAUUUGGACAUUGUUAAUCCGGAAAGACUAGCACAUACUAUGUAUGCUCAAUAUGGAGGAUGAUAUGUCUCUUGUCAUUUGUGUAGAGACUACACAGUUUGUUGUUGUAUGUCAUGAGGGGUAUUUAUUAAUACCUGGGACUCAUGGGUACAUGUUGAUUGAAAAAGUGUUGGAUUUGUGGAUCUUAAUUAUUGAUAUAAAUUGCUCUUGUUAUAUAAUUAGUAGUUGGAUGUUUUGUGUUAUUUGAGAAUUACUCAUGCGGGCUUUUUAGCUUACCGAGUUUGUUGUUUACAACCCGGUGCACCAAUUCUUUGUGUAGGGGUUAGACAUGCAUGUGAGGAUCAACAUGGUUGAGGUGGAGGCAUAGGGGCAGAGUUUUUGUUGAGUUUUGCUGUACUAUUUAUAUUUUUAUAUUUGGGGUAGACAGUAUUAAACUCAUGUGAGCGUUUUCAUUUUCUUAACUUUUAAGUUUAUGUAAUUAAGGAAAUGUAAUAUUUAACUCAGUGUUGAGUUGUGUAAUAUUUACAUUUUCCGCAUUGAGUUUAGUUUGCCUUGAAUUUGUGUGAAACAGGUUUUGGGAUUAUAUUAUUUUAAGUUAUAUCAUGCCAAAAUUUUUGAAAAUUAUCCUUCGAAAAUUGGGGCGUGACACUUAUAUAGGUUCAUUAAAUUAUACUAAAAAAUAUUUAAUUUUAUAGAGUAAAACAGAAAAGUUGUUGGAGUUGAGACUCCUAUAUUAUAUAGAUUUUGUGAUUUCGUCUUCUAUAAUAGAAAAUAUGCUCUAAGGGAGAAUCUCUAAUGAAAUGAGUAAACCCAUUUUAUUAUGUAAUUUACUUUUACAAAAAACACUAUUACAAUAGAAAAAUAAUUCCGUAUUCUAAUAAGAUUCUUACUGAUCUUUUAUCUCUUAUCAAUAAAUAACACAUCUCACCAUUCUUUGGCCAUCUCUUAGGCCUCGUUUGGUUCAUGGAUUGGAAAGGUUGAGAAGAGAAAGUUGUUUCUUUCCUUUGUUUGGCACACCUAAGGAAAUGAAAGAUUUUACUACAAUAUGAGAAAAUAUAUGAGAAAUUAGAUCCUCCCACAUACCAUGAGAUUUUAUUUUCCUCAUAUUUUCCUAACAUUAAUUGCAUAUUAAUUGCAUCUUUUAUAAAUUGUUUUAAUGGAUGUUAUUACCACAUAAUCCACAAAACUUUAGAAUCUUAAAUAUUAUAUAUUUUAUUACUAAAGAUAUAAUUGGUAAAUUAAUGUUAAUUGUUUUCCUAUCCAUGCAUAAACCAAACAUUAGAAAAGAAAGUAAAAUACAUUUCCUAGUUACUUUCCUGACUUUCCUAAACAUCUCGUAGGGAAACUAGUGGGAAAUUUUCUAAUAAGUGCUGCUAAAUGUACCCAGUAAAUGCCUAAGUAGACCCAGCAAACUUUAUACACCCGGCAAAAUCAUCAAAUUUCUAUCCACACCCAGCAACAUAUCAAUAAUACCCUUAAGUUCAUAAACCCAACCACUAGAAAUACACGGUUACCGCUGCUGAUGAUAUGGUUGGGUUCCAAACUCGAUUUUGGCAUAGAGCGGCUAUCGUGGUGGUUGCAAAGACGAAAGCCAGAAUUAGCUCUUAUAAAGGAAGAGUCCUAAAUCUAAACUCCUCAUUGUUGAGUAAUUGAAGAUCGACACAAACCUGACUUUUUGUAUGUAUAUUGUGCCCAGAAAGUAUACGGCUGGAGCUUGGUGGAUUAGGAUAUCAACAAAGGGCCUGUCAACUUGUAUGUCUAGUUUCAAGAUUCCAAUUGAAAUGUCAAUAUGCAUGAAUGCAUCUCCUUGAAAUUGUCAGUUGCAGAUUUGCAGUAGCUUUACUACUAGGAGCUAAUCACCUUGAAAUAUCACUAUCUUCUAUUCACGUUGAAAAAUGUGAAAGGUUUUCAAUACAACUCAAUUAAAGAACUAAUCUGUUUACUUUGCUGGGUAUCAUUGGAGUUAUUAAUCCUAUUCUUUUGCUGGGUUUCGUUGGAGAUGUGUAUUGCUGUUUUUUUUUUUUAUUUCGAUAUCGUUCAUUUUGCUGGGUUUCAUCACAGUAAGGGUAUAAUUAGAAAUUACAAAGUUUUAGGGGGUUUGAAAAUGAUGCUGGGUCUACUCAGUUAUUUGCGGUACAUUUAGGCUCUAACAACACCUUUUUCUAAUUUACUUUACAUGAGAAAGAUUAAGGAAUCAAUUUUCUUUGCAUAACCAAACGAGGCCUUAUAUUUACGUUUCUCCGCCUAUAUAAGAAAAUACGAGUCAGAGAAGAGUCAGAGAAGAGUGACGUCCCCAACCGCCGGCAGCCCUAGGGAGAGUGAGAAUUCUGGUUCAGAGAAGAGUCUAGAUGCCAAGUCUAAAGCCUUGAAAUUGAAGGAAAUUCCUUCGAUAAGAAGGCAUUGGCCAUGUUUCAGAAUUACUAUGAGGAGAAAGCAAAGCGUGAGCACAAGGUUAUGGUUCCGCGCCUCUGAUUAGUUUCAUCUAUGUUUUGUUAUUAUCUAAUUGAUAUUGAGAAGUAGCACUACUGAAUUGGAUGCUAAUCAUGCUAUGGUGAUGGUUGUUAUGUUCAGUUUCAUUGCUUCAAGUUUAGUUGUAGUGUGAAUUAGUGGAAUUUUGAAAAGAAAAUCUACAUAAUAAUUUUCUCUAGUUCAUUCCUAUAAGGCAAUUUUAAAUGUAGAGUUUUAAUCAUAUUGCAGUUUCGAUUAACAUCGAAAUUCUGAAAAUAAUCUUCCUGGCCUUGCUGUUAUACUGCAAGCUGCUGCUUUUAGCACCAAUCCUGAUGGACACAGUCUCCAUCAGGUUCUUGUUAUUUCUUCUAUCUUGAUAAUCCUUUUGGGUUAAUUGGAUAUUUUCUUGGUAUGUAAUAGUGAGUCAUGUUGAUCAGAAGUGUGUUUGAUUGAGUAACUUGAGACUGGUUUUAAGUAAAAGAGACCUGGAUUUAGAAAUCGUAGCUCAUAAUGAUCUUUAGUUAGCUUCCUGUUUAGAUUGUAUAAUUAGAUUGGUUUCAGUGUUCUGUGGGAUAAAAUGUUUUUCUUUUAACCAUCCAAACAAAUUUCAGCAAAAUACGGUUGAGAAGUUUUGCCCUGCUUCUGAGUUUGAAACUAUUGUUGCUAUAUGAUGUUGGUCUCUUCUUGAUUCAAGUGAGAGACCAUUCAUGGGAAGAGGAGGUUUGAGGUGCUAUGAAUUACAGUUUGAAAACAUUAUUAGGCAUGAUUAUGAAUUGAGAAACUUUCUAGAGUUAAUUUUUUCCUCUGAAUGAAACUGAUUUCAAUUUCUAAAAACCAUCAAGAUCAAUUGCUAGUUCUCUGCUGGGAGAUCUAUAUUACAAGAUCACCUGACCUACCAAGCUUUGAAUUCAUUUGCCUUACACAGGUACAUUGUGUCAUUGUCACUUUAUCCCAUGUUUAAUGUUCAGUCUUACAAGUCAUAAGUAACUUGUAUCUCUUGAGAAGCUUAGUUCUCAAAUUUGACCUCCUUGUUUUCAACAGAAUGAUUCUGCUUUCUUCAAUAUAAGCCAGCCAAAAUUUUAUGACUGUUUUGGUUGCUUUUACUAAACAUUUCUUAGAAAAAAAAAAAAAAUCCACAUAUUUUUCAGUAAACUUAAUCCAUCACAUUAGUCAUGCUAUAAGGUCAGGGUGUGACAGUGUCUCACCUCGAGCAUAGGUAUAAGGAACGCCAUCUCAAGCAUUAGUAAAAGAGGGAAGGAUACUUUUUACAGACAAACUUAAUGUAAUAUCAGUUAUUAUAUCAUCAACUCAGCUGGAUAAUCAGGCACGAGGAAGCUGUACCUUAUGGGUGAGUCCCUGUACGAGGCGAAGUUAAAUUGGACCACGAAUUCUGGUACAUUGAUGCUUGAAUGAAUUAGGCUUUAGUCAGUAUCCAAAACCCACGGAUGAGUCUAGCGGUGUUUAUUCUUCUACACCUGUUGAUUGUUGUAGACGAGAAUAAGGUUAUCACAAGCUGAUAAAGACAUGUUCAGGGAGGACGGUCUUGUCUUUGUUACACAGGUUCCCCUAUUGUUAUGGUAUCUUUGCUCGCUGUUUAUUUUUUGUUCUGUUUAGGCUACCACAGUUGAUGUGCUUAUAAAUAAACAGUUUUUUGACUGCGCAAAUUGUCUUUAUCUUUUGGUUUAAGUUGUUAGUUUAAUGUCUUGAGAAAUUAUGUUCCUUAUUUUUUGGUGAACUAUUAUCAUUGUACGGGGUACAACCGUACAACUGGGUGAGUGCCUAAAAGGCAAAUAUCCAUGCCGAUUAUCCUGAGCAGUGGCCACGGCUUUUAGACUGAGUGAAGCACAACUUAUAUGACCAACAAGUUUAUGGAGCUUUGUUUGUUUUCUGUAUUCUUUCUAGAGAACAUGAGUAAGUGUAUCAUAAUCUACUAAUCUUAUAAAGUAAUUCUUUUAUAUGGCUACUGCCUGGAGUUACUCUGCUUCUAAUAGAAACUACAAGUUAGCUAGUAGUUUCCCAUCUGAGGCAAACUUUGUGUUUAAUGUGUAUUUGACCACGCUUGUUAUAGAAAUUAAUCAUAAAUUAUGUUAUCUCACAUUGAUGAAAAUAUUAUUAUCUGGUUUCCUGAUAUCUGAAAUGGUCAUCAGACUCUGCGAGUUCAUAUCCAUUCAUACACCAGUUACACUGAGAUAUCUGUCCAUAGUGAUCAGAUUCUACUAGUUCAUAUCCAUUCAUUUACUGUCAAUUAGCUAAUCACUAUUAUUGUUAGAAUGUAGAUGUAUCUAGUAAAAUGAUAGUAAAACCAGGUCCUGUCUGACCUGCUUCAUAGAAAACUAAAUGAUUAUAGUAUUUACCAGAUUUAUUGGAUUUAGGUGUGACAUCAUACAUGAUUUUUGCUGCUUUAUUCGUACCAGGCUAAGAGGAUACUAAAAAGUUAAAGACUGAAAGUCUCCCUAAAACGUAGUUGGAUUAUUCUCCAAAUAAUGAAGUGGGACAUGAAAAAUGUAUCAGGCAUAUUGAACAGAAGUAUUGAGUUGAGUAAAUGUCUUCUGAAUGAUUCAAAGUUUCAAACAAAGUAGGUACUUAAUUCUAUAUGCCAUAUUCAUCAAGUACACAGGUUGGUAGACAAGUAGACAAACCAAACAAUAUCUCCCACAUAGAAUUAUAUAUAUGUGUGUCUGUGUGUUAUAUGUUAUAAAAGCCAAUAAAUUUGAGAGUAUGAUGAAGUGGUAUUCUGUGAUCUCAGAACACAUUUGCUAUAAUGAGAAAGAGAUGCCACUUCUACUUUCAUGCUUAGGAAGAAGCAUUGAUCAGUGAAAGAUGGCUUUUCCUAAGUUCUUAUUCUCACAUGGUGUCCUGUCUUCGAUGCUCUUCAUUUAUGUGUUUAGCUUGUUCUUCUCUUGCAAAUCAUGAAUCCACUGUUUGCGCUGUUAUUUGCUCUGUUAUUGGAGAAGGUUACAUGGACUCCUAGCGACCAUCAGAAAGUUAGUCUGUCACCUUAGUAUGAAACUUUGAACCCAAACAUCUAUUUACAGUCAGACAGGUAAUUUGAGUAAAAGUUUACCGUAACUCUCGGAGAGGUUUCUUCCGGUAAAGACUAUUAAAAACUAUGAGACAGGUUCCUGUCUUUAUUGUCUAUCAUUGUUAUGGGCUUCAUAGUUUUGUAAUGCAAUUUUGGUUUUUAUCAUUUAUCUUUGUAACACCACUUUCUUAGAGGAUAAUAUGAAGAUUCUGGAUAAUAUGCAUUAUCUUAGACUUCAAUGAAUUUCUGAUUUGCAGGGCAAACAUUUUUUUUUAGUUACAACUUACUGCAUAAAAUGAAAUUUCAUUCUGGUCAUAGAGGGAAGGCACAAGGAGUGGGACAGAAACGGAAUUUCUAGUUGGACAAGCAAGACUAUCUAUUCAUUGCAGACUGCUCAGCUUCCCAUGCAUACAGAUCUCCAAAAAAUUGGAUAAGCUCAACUCAUAUAUUGUCUGGGGAGGGAGGGAUACUGAGCAGCAGAGGCAGAUCCACUUGGUUAACUGGGGUGAAGUAUGUAAAACUAAGGCUAAUGGAGGUAAGGGAAUCAAAAAGGAGAGAUGAUCAAUAAGCUAUGUUAGCCAAGGGAAGCUGGAGAUUGAUGCGUGGUAACCAUGGUCGAUCAUAAGUGUAUUAUAAGCUAUUUCGCAAAAAAGUUUGUUUAUUCAUAUUAAAAACCUCAACUCUGUUCUAGCUCUUGGUCUGGUGUUGUUCAUGGAGCCAAUUUGUUGAUGAAAGGUCUCAAAUCGAGGAUUGGUGAAUGAUGCUAAAGAUUUGUUUCUGGAAUGAUAAUUGCUGCUCUUUGUAAUUUAAUGCACCAAACAGGUAUGUAAUGGCUUUGAUAAACCUUAUUUAUUCCAGCAUGGAAUGACUAUCUGCAAAUCUUAAACAUUUUUUUUUUCUGGAAUUCUGCAUUGGAGUAUUUUUCUUUGUUUUUUUUUGCUCUUGGUUUAUAUGGACGUGGAGGGAUUUGGUUUCUCCCUACUUCAGAUGAAAGGAUUUCCCCGAAAUCGGGUAUGCUUUUACCGCUUUAUUUUGAUUACGUGCUUGUAAAUUGGUGCUGCGGUUGCAGAGGCAAAGGUACGUCUUCCGAAACUUCAAUUCUGCAUCUGUGGGAAUGUUCAUAUGGAGGAGUGUUGGCAUAUAGAUGAUUGAUGCAUGUAUUUGUUGUGGUUGACGUGUGGAUUAGAGAAGGAGGAUGGAUAGAUUUUUGCUUCUGAUAUGAUAUAUGUUAUUUUUGAUAUCUGUGGUGUCUGAUCUCCCAAAAUUUAUAAAUUUCGAUUUUGACAUGUUCAUGAUAUCUGAAAGUAUAUGAAUUGUUGUUUUAGUUUAUGUUUUACACAAAGCAUACUUAAACUAUGAAGACACAGGUUAAGAACUCAUGAAAACACUAAAAAUUGUGCUGUAUUAUAAUGUUCUGCUUAUUUUGGCCUUCAAAGAAGUAUUUGAGUAUGAUUUUAUAAUAUAUGCAGUGGUAUGUGUAUAUGCAGGAAUUUAUCAAGAUUUUCUGAAACUUUUCUUAGUCUAAAGGGUUAGACUGUUUUCACUAAAACUAAAUAACGAAUUCUUAUUGUGUAUGGCAUAUCAAUUCAGAAACUACAGCUUUUUGUAAGAAAUUAUGUCACAAAGGCAUUGAUUAAAGAAAGGUUGUCUAUUUUCAAGGGAUGUUAUGCCGAAUUUCCUGUAGCAUCUCCUUUGGUCCCCGCAGAGUUUAUUCCCCUGAAAUCCGAGGUGGGUCCUGACAAUUGUCGCAUGCCCGAAUGCAGUACUGGAACUAAUACUACAUGAAGCCUGCUUACUAUGGAGACCGGCUUGUUGAUUUGGAUGACUCUCUCAAAAUGUUGUUGAAAAGACUAGAGCUGCAACAAGCUAGGGACGUGAAGGUGACAUUGCAUUUGGCAAGGUCCAUUAGAAGAGCAACACUUCGGCCUCCUCCUCCUCCUCCUCUUUCUCCACCAAAACUUAGAGCUAGCUGGAGUAAAAUAUCGGCUUCGUUUAGAAAAAGGGAAAGGAGAAGGAGUAAAAUAUUGGCCUUGAGUCAAGGCAAAAAGAAGAAGAAAAAGAGGCAAGUCCAACAGAAAAAGGGUGAUACCGACGUCCUCUCUCUCUCUCNNNNNNNNNNNNNNNNNNNNUACUCUCUCUCUCUCUCUCUCUCUCUCUCUCUCUCUCUCUCUCUCUCUCUCUCUCUCUCUCUCUCUCUCUCUCCGAAUUCCAGUGUCGACUCUGCUAGAAAGAUGUCGUCCAGCUCCGGUACCGGUUUGUCAUCAGCUUCGACCAAGUACAUGAAUUUUAAAGAAAUCACCGCCACCGUUAGUUUUCUCCCCCAUUUAGCAAUUUUCACAAGAAAAUACUCAUAAAAUUUGGUGGGCUUAAAUUCUCGACUUGAAUUCUAUAUAAAAUAAACGUCAUUUAUCAAUUCAUUUAAUUAAAGUUAGUAUAAAUAUUAAUUCAAUCAAUCGAAUUGAAUUAAAACUCUACGUAAUAAAAUCCAAUCAAUCGAAUUCUCAAUCAAUCAAUAAAAUUUAAAAUUUCCGUGAAAAUUGCAUUUACUACUCUUGAAAUGAGUAGAGACAUAUUCCGUUCCAUUUUUACUUUUACAAAGUUUACUUCUUCUUUUUUUUUUUCUUUUAGAAAAAAAAGAAAAAGGAAAAAACUUAGAGCUAGCAAGGAGUAAAAUAUUGGGCUUGACCGCUUGAGUCGAGGCAAAAAGAAGAAGAAAAAGAGACAAGUCCAAUAGAAAAAGAAAAAGGGUGAUACCGACGCCGUCUCUCUCUCCGAAUCCCAGUGUCGACUCCGCUGGAAAGAUGUCGUCCGGUACCAGUUUGUCAUCAGCUUCGACCAAGUACAGGAAUUUUAAAGAAAUCACGCGCCACCGUUAGUUUUCUCCCCCAUUCACUUCCUCUUUUUCAAUUUCGCGAAUCUAAUAAUUAGAUCAAGAUUAUCUUUUACUUGUAAAAUCGCUGUAUGGCUUGUCAUCUGAAUCAUAUGAUGAUAAGCGACUGUACUUCCUAAUCGAGAAAACUCCAAAUCUACUACAUACUGUUUUUUUUCUUAUUAUUAUUUAUAUAAUCGAUCUGUUUGCGUCAGAUUUUUUAUUAUAAUUUUGCAUAUGCCAAUGAUUGUAUCUGUAUUUGCUGGGAUUAUUAUUAUUAUUAUUAUAUAUUGUUGUUUUCUUUAUGCUGGCUAAUACCGAGACAGUUGUUGUUUUAUAUAUCCUUCGCGAGCUUAGUGACUAAUCGCCUGGUGAUUGACCUGUUUUCCUCUUUUUUAAUAUUCUUUUAUCCCAUAUUUGAUGCGUAGGAUUAUUGAAUGAAAUGCUUCGGUCUUGCAAAACUUGGAACUCAAAAUCAACAUGGAAGGUACGAAAUGUGAUCCAUCUCCUUUUUAUUUUUAAUUUUUACUUUUUAUUUUUAAUUUUUAAUUUGUGAUGUUUAGAAGUAAUUCUCUCUUAUGAUUGACAAUUAUAACAUGGACUAUUUUUGGUUCAUCAAUUUUAAGUUUUCUAGAAUGGAUUUAGUCAAGCAUUUGUAGCACACUGUAAAUGGUGGGGAUGGGGAAAUGCGAGUUAGGAGUCGUUGUAUCUUUUCUUAGUUUGUAAACCCAUCACAGAUUCACGUUGCAAACUCUUGACAUGCAAUUUUAUUUCUUGUCCUUGAAUCCUAUAUUCUGCAGGUACUCGUUAUGGAUGAAUUUACUGUCAAGAUAAUGUCUCACGCAUGCACAGUCGUUGAUACUACAAAUGAAGGUGUUUCAUGUAAGUUUCAAAACGACUCCUCUGCUAUGUUAUUUAGUAUUAUAUUAUCUCAGCUUUCUUCCUAAUCUUUCGAAAAGACUUAUUUGCCAUUUUAAACUUGCGAGGCUUCUUAAUUGUUCUGUUAAGUCUGUCUAUAAGUAAGCAUCAAUUGCUGUUUUUCUUUUUCUUUUUCUUUCUUACAAGUUACUACAAUGAAUUCAUAUUUUCUUGCAGUGCUUGAGCGCAUAGAUAAAAAAAGGCAGCGAUUGCCAUCUAUGGAUGCAAUAUAUUUUAUCCGGCCUUCUAAAGAAAAGUAAUGCUUUUCACACCUUUUGGGUUAUUAUCGCUAUAAUGUCAUUAAGUAAUUGAUAUCUGCUUUAAAAUCGGGAUUCAAGUUCUUCCUUUCUACCCAGCUAACUAACCAUUUAGUUUCACGCCUGUCCACUGUUACAGUUUAGCUUCUCGUUAAUUUUAUUUACUUAUUUUCAUAUUAUUAGGGGUUGUUAUGAGAGCUAAACCCUAUAAUCUAAGCAGUGGGAUCACAACAAAAAGUUGCAAUCUUGGAAGUAUAAUUUUUUAAAUGUGUCACAGUUGCAUUAUUAAGUGGUGUCCAUGGGGCCAAAAUGAUAGAAGUUGGAAAAUGCAAAACAAGCCGGGUAAAUUAGAAGAUCCUAAACGACUUUGACAUUAGCACCGAUCCAAUUCUAUUCCCGUUCAUGUUAGAACUUGUAACACUACCCCUGUGAUCUCAUGUGGAGCUUACACUGUGAUAAAUGAACCAUCAAGAAUGCUAGGAUGUAUUCAUUUGAUCCAAUCCCUUGGUAUUUUCUCAUAAGUAUGCUACCAAUUUGGUGUGUGAACCUGCAAUCGUUAGUACGCUGGCUAUCUAUGCUUUUGAUGUGGUAUUCUCAUUUAGUUUGCUGAUGAAUCUUGCUAAAGAAUUAAAUAAUUGCUGGCCAACUUCAGCUUUUGGGAACAAUUGUUACUAACAGAACUUACAACUGAGAGCUUUAAUCAUACAUCUUUGGAUCAUUAGCAUCCCGUUAUAUGCUGUAUUCCGUGAUUGCUUUUUUAAUGGAGAGGCCCACAUGUGAGAUAUGUAUUACAAUAUAAAACCACUAUUGGUGCACAUCCUAAAAACUUAAGCUUGAUUGAGGGCUGUUGCACUAACAAAGUUCAUCAUAUCACAUGUCUUAAAAGUAAUUAUGGUGGCAAUUUCACCAGAAUAAUGCUUCUUCAGUAAUUCGUUGAUCUUAUGGGUGGAUAUGGAUCCCGUAAAUAUGUGCUUCCUUACUUUUUCUUGAAACAAGCAGUGCUCGUGUUUAUUCUGUAUUUUGAGUAGAAUGUGAAGUAAGAAAUUUCCAGUUGAAAUGAUGUUGUGGCACUAUUGGAAUAUGAACAUAAACAAUUUUAACCUCCUCUCUUUCUGGUGGUGAAAUUGCAGUGUUAGAUUCUUCUUGUCAGACAUGUCGGGAGGCGUACCUUUCUAUAGGAAGUAUGUGCAUGAAUAUCAGUCUUUUCUCUUGCACUAGUUUGUUUAAUUUAUCAUAAGAUGAUAGAAAUAAAUCUUCCUGUUCUCUUUGUAGGGCGUUUGUUUUCUUCACUUCACCGAUAUCCAAGCAUUUGGUUGGGCAGAUCAAGGCGGAUGCAAGUCUAAGAAGCCGCAUAUCUGCAUUGAGUGAGGUGUAAUUCCUUCCCUUGGCACUUAUUUUGUUUUAGAUUGAGAACUCUGCAGAGGCUUAUGUAUCAGCCAGUUAAAUCCUUCUAUUCUUAAACUUGCAGAUGAACCUGGAGUACUAUGCUAUAGAUAGCCAGGUAUUUGUAGUCAAUUUGUUUAGUCCCAUUUGCAUUAUAUGUUUUUUUUUUUUUCUACUUGUAAAUAUUUUAUCAAUUUGGGGUUUGGGGUUAUCACCCACCAAAUUACAUAGAAUUCAAAAUCCUCUCGCCAAAAUAUUUUAACUGAUAAAAAAGAAAGUAAAUUUCCGGUAGUAAAACAAAAUUAAAAUAAAGAUAAUUUAUGCAUGACUUUGUAAUGUGUGAACCGAAUCCACCUAGUCGACUCAUGCCUCUAUUUAAUUUCAAUCGAGAGAAAGGAGUUUGUGAGUCGGAUUGUUAAUCACCUGCCUAGGUUCAUAUCCUGUCAUAAAGAUGUGCAUGGCUUGUUAGAGACAUAAUAUUGUGAACCAAAUCUAAAUUUUAUAUAAAUCCAUUUAAUAAAGAUAGAAAAGAUUUGACAUAAGUCUCAUAGGAAAUUGAAUUUCUUUGCUAGAAUCUGUGGGAAUACACAUACGUUACGCUUAAUUUAGGUCUGCCACAGUUAUCAACAUAGUAUGCUUAAGCUGGAUCAAAUUUUCUGUCUUUGAUUAUUUUUCAUAUGUUCAUCCCUUUUUAGUGAUGUCUGCUUUUCCUUGCAAAGGGUUUUGUUACCAAUAACCAGAGAGCUUUACAGCAGCUGUAUGGGGACAAGGACGAUUCACGCGAAGCUGAAGCAUGUUUGAAUGAGAUGGCUGCACGUGUUGCCACAGUCUUUGCUUCAUUAAGGGUAGAGGUGAUUUUGAUUUUUAAUGUUGAUCAAAGAUUUCAUGAAAAUGUUCUGAACAACACUAGCUAUUCAUUUUUUCAAUUUCAUAGGAACUUCCUGUUGUUCACUACCGAGCUGCCAAUAGGUUUGAUGCCACCGUGGAGACCACUUUUUGUGAUUUGAUUCCUACAAAGCUUGCUGCUGGUAUCUGGGAUUCUCUCAUGCAUUACAAGAGAACAAUUCCAGAUUUCCCUCAGAGAGAAACUUGCGAGUUACUUAUCCUUGACAGAUCCGUGGAUCAGGUCUUUAGCUAUGUGUCUGUCUUUUUUUUAAAAACACAUCAUACUUGAUGCACCCUUGUCUUUAUUAAGUAAUACUCGUCCUUGUCUGACUUUUCAGAUUGCGCCAAUCAUACACGAAUGGACAUAUGAUGCCUUGUGUCAUGACUUGUUAGAAAUGGAAGGAAAUAAAUAUGUUCACGAGGCAAGUAGUAACUUCCCUUUAUGGCAUUUCUUUCGAAGUUCAUGGUCUCACAAAUUUGGGGAAAGUGUAACAUAGAAUUGUACAUACAGGUUGCAAACAUAACUGGUGGUCCUCCUGACAAGAAAGAUGUUCUUCUAGACGAGUGUGAUCCUGUCUGGCUUGAGCUUCGCGAUCGUCAUUUAGGAUUUGUAAGUCUUGUGCCUACACAUCUUUUUGGGAUUUCUUAUGCAUAAAAGCAUCUCUCUUUGUUUUCUUAAUCACAAAUGAAUGACCUUGUCAGGCCUUGGAAUGGUUAAAGUCAGAACUUUCCAGUCUUAAGCAGAAUAAGGUUGCACGAUUCGAAAAUUCAAGGUAUGUGAUUAGUUGCUACAAUCAGCAAACCAACCUUAGUAUGGAAGAUAACUUUAAUGGUGCAAUGGUUCUCAAAUUUAAUUUGGGCUUUAUUGCAAGUACUUUUGGUCAUAAAUGGUCCGAAUCUGUUUCUUGAAUUGUCUAUUACUAACAAGGACUAUAGUGAAGUAGAUCAUCACCAAGAUAGCUACACAUUAAAAUUGGUAGUUGUCAAGAAACCUAUAUUGAAAGUAAUAUAGAAACGAGCCUGGCUGGAUUUUUCUUUUUCAUUUCAUCUGGGGACAUAUAUUACUACAUGGCACUUGUUAGUUUUGCGAGGUAUUGUUGCAUGACGCGGAAUUUGCCUCAUCUGAUGCAUAUGGAUAGUGCUAGGAAUAUCUCUCUGGUCUGCCAACCCUUAUAUAACUUAUGUGGUGAAUACUGAGUUAAGCAUAUUCACAAAGGGUGAUAAUUACAAGGCUCUAGUCCAGUAAUCAAUGUUUGGGACAUAAUAACCAUUUCUGCUAGCAGACUAAACUUUCUCUUUCUUUUUCCAGAUAUUCACUCCUUAGGAAUUAUUUUACUGAUCUGGUGGCUAGUGACUGCUUUUGACAUCUUCCUUGAAUAAACCGAUAAGCUGAACCCUGAGUAGUCUUAUUACUAUUUUUUUGUUAAACAUGUUGAAAUUAAUGUUUUGUUAAACAUGUUAAAUAGAGAUGGGCAAUCUCCUGAGGUAUCCUCGAGGGAAUUGAAAGACAUAACUGAAGCAUUGCCACAGUAUCUUGAACUAAAAGAGAAGCUCUCCCUUCAUAUAGAGGUCAGUUCUUAAAGGUUUUAUUGUCUCAUUUGUAAUGUUCCAAUGUGUUGAAAACUUAAAUUUGUUGUUUCAAGUUGCUGCCAAGUAUUUAUGAAGACGGCAUAUUUUACAGUUAUUGCUUUAUAUGCAUCGAGACAUGCUUCUUAGGUAAGAACGAAGUUAAAUAAAAAAGAAAUAAAAUCAAAUUUUGGUUGCUUUAUAUGCAUUGAGACAUGCCACUUAAGUCGCUUGUCUGCGAUCUUUCUCUAAAUAUUGCUUUUUUCUAGUCUUAAAAUUGCCAAGCCCAUUGGAAAGUAUAAUUAUGGUAAUCAUGAGGUGGAGCAACUGAAUGAUAGCACAUUUAACAGCCAAGAAGUUUAUACUUGAACUUUGAGCAUAGCAACAGUGGCUCAAGAGAAAUAUAUAAUUUUCUUUUCUCCAGAUUGCAUCGAAACUAAACACAAUUGUCAGGAACUUCAAGCUUCCGUUCCUUUCGGAGCUGGAGCAGAGUCUGGUUUAUGGUGAUGCAGGAAUAAGAGAAGUGAUAAUGUUUCUGAGAAUACACGGGGUAAGGAAUUAUGGAAAUACUAAAUUAUGAGCGCACCAGACUCCUUCUCUUUCUAUUUUGUAUAACACUUUUUCUUCAGCCGUCUAUUGGUCGCGAACAUAUGCUGCGCUUGUUGAUGAUUGCUGCUGCCAUUUAUCCUGAGUUUUUGAAGGACGGGGGAUAUUUACAGAUGAUGAUGAAGGUUAGUAGUAGAUGAGUUCAGUUAGCGUAUCUAGUCUCGUUUCUAUUAGUCAGGUGUUAAUUUGUGGUACUGUUUUUCUUCAGCAUGCGAAUUUACUACCCCAGGAUAUGACUGCUGUGAGGAAUAUGAAGUUGAUUGGGAAGGGCCAAGAAGGCUCAUCUGGAAUCUUUCCUAUGAAGUUUGGUAUUGCCAAGGUGAAUGUAUUUAACAGAUACUUUUUUGAGCCUGUUCAGUUUGUUGAUCAAUAUCUCACAAGCAGUUUUUCUAUAAUUAGAGAGAACGGUAUAGGAAAGAGCGUCCAAGAGAAGAUGAAUGGCGUUAUUCGCGGUUUUCUCCGAUGAUAGAGGUACCUUUUUAGCUGGUUUUCAUUUGUACAGUUCCAAGCUUACAAGUAAGCCACUGUUUUUUGAAUUAACUGUACCCUAUCAUACUUUCUCCUUUCAGGAACUCAUAGAAAAGCUUAGCAAUGGUGCACUGUCAGAGGAGUUGUAUCCUUGUGUGAAUCCCAACGCUUGUGUACCGAAAUCGAGGAGGACACCAACGUGGGCCCACCGUCGGACUUCUGAUGAUGGGCUCUCAAGGUAUAUAUCUUGCUCAAUCUUCUUCUACUGUGCACCUAGGUCAUCUAAUCAGAUCACAUGCUGUAGGUCAUCUAAUCAGAUCACAUGCUGAUUUCAUAUUUUAACCUACAUCGUUAGCCUUCCCAAAUGUUCCGCUUUUAUUAUUUUGUUCUUAUAUCUGAGUCCUGCAUGGUCACAAACCCUAUCAAAGUAAUCAGAGCUUCUUGGGUGACUCGUGCAUUUUGGAAAUCUUCCAUAAAUAGAGUAGUGCUUUGUGUCCUUCCAGUGACUAUUCUUGUUUCCUGCUGUGUAUUAAGGUAUGCAUCCAGUGGUUAUGAAAAGAUGGGCCAACGGAUCUUUGUAGUUAUAGUAGGUGGAGCUACUAGAUCAGAGGUAUGAAAGAUGUUCCCUUUCUUCUGAUUUUGAGAAGGUCGUGGAUACUACUUUUCUUAUUCUGUUUAGAACGCAAACGAAAUUUGCUGAGCUUUUAAUUAAUGUAUUCAGCUUAGGGUGUGCCAUAAGCUCACAGCUAAGCUCAAAAGGGAAGUUAUUCUGGGCUCAUCAUCUCUGGACGAUCCUGCAUCUUUUGUUACGGUAUAUUAUGUUUAAAACUUUUGAUCUUCAAAAAGCUUGAUGAUACUUGUGCUGUCCUCAAACAGCUGAUUUGAUAUGCAGAAUCUGAAAAUGAUCACAGCAGAGAACAAGCCGCUCAUGUUGGAUGAUGUACAGAUCUGACUAUGGAAGUUCAACUAAAUUUUUUUUUUUUUUAUUGAGGUCAAUGUAGUUGUUUCUGAUGUCCGAAAGCACCGCAUCAAUAUCUGUUUCCGAAAAUAUGUGAACGGAUCACUUGUAGAACUGUCUCCUUAUCCCAUUAAUUAGGAUUAUGAUACUUGAAUUUACAUAGUUAUCAAAGUAGUACCUAGACUUGAGUUUUUGUAUAUCCGUCAUAUUUAUCAUACCUAGUGUUAAUAUCAACGUCUGAUGCAUAUGACUCUUUAAACGAUGCAAUAAAGACUUAUUUACCCUUUUCAUUUGUUAAACACACGCUUUCUCAUUGAAACAGAUGAAAUCCAAAGCAGUCACCCAUGCAUCAUUGUUCUUAUUUCAUCCAUCUCAUGAAAUUCAACCUCAUGCAAUUAUUGUGUCGAGUAGUUCUACCAUCACUUAUACCCAUUUGAAGCAUCAUAUAUCUCUCAUCUUUGUAUUCUCCUUCGACCACGUUCUGCACACAGGAGAAAUGUUGAAUGGGUACAUACCAUCUCAAGUGUUGGUUAAAUUAUUGAUUAAUCGUUGGAAUGAGUUUCUUCCAAAUUGAAGCUUAAUCCCAUCACAAAUCUCUCUUCUUUUGGAUGGAUUUUUUUGAAAUGGAUUUCUUUCUUUAUUGGAUUAGAAUUUACUGAUGCGUUAGACUUUUAAGGGAACACGAAUGUUUCAACAACAUGAAUGAUUACUGGGUUUUUUUUUCUUUUUUUAUUUGCUGGGUUUAAGAUGUUGAACAUGAAGUCAUGAAGAGUUGAACAGGAGGAGAAGAGUUGAACAUGAGGAGGAAAAGUGCGUGUCUAAGCUGGAUUUGGAGAUGGAGUUUUGGAAGAAGACCCAAAUCCAAAUUCUAAAAGAUAUAGAAGAUUAUAAUAUACAAGUUUCUUUGAUUUCAUGGUCCAAAAGUUUUGAUGGGGAUAAUAUCCAAUCAUGAUGAUCGGAUUAAGAUAUUAGGAUUUAGUAUUUUUUUUUUAUUUUUUUUUAUUUUUAAGAAUGUUUUGUUAACUGAACAAAGUAAAAAGAAAUUUUUCAGAUUUUAUUUUAAAUUUUAAAUUUAUGUAUUUAGGAUGAAUGGACAGAGAAUGUCUGUUCUGCCCUCAUUUUACAACUGAUGUGCCUCACACAUAGUCAACAAUGACGGUGAAUAAACGGAAAUCGACCCCAGGUAUAACGGAUAUACGAAAAUUUAAGUCUAAGAACUACUUUGAUAACUUUGUAAGUUCGGGUAUCAUAUUAUCAGUCACCCAAGUGUUCAGACACUAUUAGUGCAAAAAAUCUCAUUACUUACAUGUAGCAUCUAUUGAUCUGUUUGACCAUAAACCUUAUAUAUUAUGCAGUUCUGCAGGUUCUAGUAUGUAUUGAAGAACAAAAGUACAGUCAAGAAAAAUCUAGCAAGAAUAGAACAGAAUUGGAUUUGGCCUGUGUUAAACUCAACCUCCAAAACUUCAACCUCCUCUUGUGGCAGGUCAUCUUAAUUUUGCAAAUUAAACUCUGCUGUUCAGUGGAAUUUGAUGACAAGGUGUACUCGGUAACUCCUUAGGUUUUCUGCAUAGAGAAGAGAGGGAAAAAACAAAAGUUGCUUGUAUUAUUUGGUUCAAAUUUAUUCUCAACUGCAUCUGUUUGUCAUAAAUCCAAAACUCCAAAAAGUACUGGAAUGUUGUUGGUUCAAAUGUCUGAUAAAUCAGUUCCGAUCAAAAAAGAAAAAGAAAAAGUGUUGAAUGAGACUUGUCAAGCUGGGGCAUAUUUAUAACUUGAUUGAAUCCAUUCUCAUGUGAGUCAUGGGACAAAGUUUCCACAUUUUAGGGUAUAGUACUCUCUCUCUCUCUCNNNNNNNNNNNNNNNNNNNNCUCUCUCUCUCUCUCUCUCUCUCUCUCUCUCUCUCUCUCUCUCUCUCUCUCUCUCUCUCUCAACCUAUCUGUUUGGAAUUAAUAAAUAUGAAGUGCAAGAGAAGUAGUUAGUAUUGUAUAAUCAAGUUUCUCUAUAAAUAGAACGAGAAGCUGCAGAAGAGAAUAUGAUGGUGAAGUUGGAAGACAGUUUUUCUUUAACUAACUGUAGGUUGCAUUAUUUGUUUUCAAUGUGUUUUUUGUUUCUUUAACUUUGUCAGUGUUGCUUCGAUGGAGGAAGAGGGACGGGGAAGAUCAUAUAUCUUACGACCUGAGUAAAUUUUUUCUUCUCAAGAUGAAGUCUAUCACAUCUAAUUGUUUUACUAUUGUAGGCAAUCUACCGACCCACUAGAUGCAACCACCAAUCUCAAAUCAAAACCUUGACUCCACCAGUCACAAAUCUCAAAUCAAAUUCUCGACUUCGCCGGUCAAAUUCACAAAACCUGAAUCUCUGGCUCCACCAGUCAAAUUCACCCAAACACCACAAAUAUCAAAUACCCAAACCAAAUUCAAGGGCUUUAAACCCUCACAAAUAUCCCAAACACAAAUUCAAAAUAAAUGGGUUUGGACACCCACAACUAUCGCUAAUAAAGAAGACACAUACAUUCGAUUGAUUAGCCUUGUAUACACAAGACGUAUUACAUUAGAUCGAUCAUUACAUACAAGCACCCCUAUAGACAAGAUAAUCAUGUUAGCUUAAUCAUUAGGAACAAAUAACCUUUUAUACAUGGUGGUGUCACAUUAGAUCGAUCAUUACAUACAAGCGCCUUUAUAGACAAGAUAAUCACCUUAGCUCGAUCAUUAGGAACAACUAGCCCUACAUACACGAGAUGUAUUGUUAGCUCGAUUAUUAGGAACGAGUAGCCCUAUAUACACAAGAUUUCACAUUUGUUCGAUCAUUAGGAACAAGUAGCUCUAUAUACACAAGAUGUCACAUUUGUGCGUUCAUUAAGAACAUGAUACACCCCGAACCUAGUAAUUAUUUUUAUACUGUGGUUUCCGAUUUAAUGGUAGCUAAUCAAUUCGGAAAUUUGUUCUUUUAUUUUGAUAGAGGUGGUUUAGACGAGUUCAUAGAUUUUUAGUUACCCGAAUAGAAGUUCGUAAAUAAAGGGUAGCUAAAAUAAUAACAAUGUCCAUUUUUGGGUUGGGGUAUAAGAGGGAAACUUACUAUUUUUGGUUAAGGUAGAAAACAAAUGCGCCUCACUCUCUCUCCCCGACCCCGACCCCGACCCCGACUCCGUCCUCGUCCGAUUCUCCUUUAAGGAUCACCGCCGUCCGACAACGCCUGGCCGCCACACCGGUCUUGUUCGACAACUGGGACACCGCUCGUCCAGCCUGGGGUGGUGAUCGGUCCUAACUCGCCAGCAUUAAGGCGCAGUGACGCCGCUGCCGUCGCGCAACUUGCUUUGUCGGAACUUCCUUCUCCGGUCAUUGAUUCUAGCGAUCUUUGGGGGGUUUUGUAGCUCUUCUAUUGGCCUUUCAACCCUCCAAAAGUGGAAGAGCAAUUUGGGGUAUAUAGCCAAAUCGGAGUAGUUUUUGUGUUCUUGAGCUUGUGAGGUAUUUUCCGGUCAAACCUUUGAUUUGUAGGUUUUGUGUUAGUCAUGAUUGUUGUUGUGCUUGUUGAGAAGAAGAGUUUGAUAUAUGCCUUGUUAAUUUUGGUUGAAGUUGAUAUGGCGGUUGACCGCCACUGCCGGUGGCUGCUACCAUACAUGGUAGUGGUUUUGAGGAAUUUUGGUUGAUUUCUAGAAGGGGGUAAUGUUGUUAUAGUGUAUGGUGAUUUUUGGUGAAGGGUUCUUGGAAUUUGGGAUAGUUUUGGUUGCUCUAUGGAUGGGAAGUGAGUUGAAAAGAAGUAUUGAAAAUUUUGGUGAAGGUUGAUUGGGAUUUAGGAAAUUUUUAAGUUGAUUUUGGUGGAGGAGGAGAGGUGAGUCUCAUCCAUAGGAAUUUCUAUAUUUAUAUUUAUGUGUUAGAACGUUGAGGAAAAUUGGAGAAGAUUAGUAAAAAGGGUUGGAGUUCUUCUUAGUCUUUGGAGAGUGUAGAAUGAGUGAGGAUGACAUUGCUCUAUUUUGUUAAAUUUGAUAUUCUUGUAUUUUUGUCUCGGACCUUAAAUCUCGCUUUGUACAAGACGGGAGGAGACACUACGUGAGGAGAGCUUUGACCGACGUCAGACUUAGCGGUCUAUAUAGUGAGUGGACAUUUUGGUUUUUAAUUAAUAUGCAUGCAUGAUUUUAUAAAUGGUUAAUUAUAUUUUCCAAGCUUAAAUUAUGAUUUCAGCUUUCAAAUUGUUAUGAAAUUUAGUUGAGAUUGACAUAUUGAUUGUGAUUUCAUUAAUGAACUUAUGGAUUUGAGCUUGGGUAAAAGAUUUGGUAUUUAAGUUAUAUUAAUCCUAAUGAUUUUUGGAUUUGAGAUUUACAUCAAGGAUUGGAGGUUUGAAAUAUGUUGAUUAUUUGGCUUAAUUAUUACAUUGAGCAUUUUAACGUGUGGGACACGUUAUUAAAUUUAAUUUAUUUCUUUUAUUUUGGAAUUUUUCCGCGUACGAUUGGGAAUCGUAUUUAUGCUUUAGUUAUGAGUUUCAGGGAAACUCAGAUGAAUCGUAUUUAUGCUUUAGUUAUGAGUUUCAGGGAAACUCACAUGAAUUUUUUUUUGGUGUCAUAUUUGUUGGAUUAUAUAUGAUGUCAAUGCUAGCAUGUUGUUCCACUUUUCGAGAUGAUGUGACUUCCACAUUCCAAGUGGGGUCAUGCAAGCCCCACCCUAGUGGUGAUGUGAUGUUGUCGGCGACAUCACGCAAGCCCUGUAUCCUCUCUGUCAACUCGACAUGAAGAUACAUGGAGUAUGGGAGUACUUUGCCUGAGAGACAACCGAGUCUGGGAGACUUACUUAUAUGACCAUAUAGGGUUCUUUUAUUUUUAAGUUGUUAAUUUGACUAUUUGACUAGCGGGGCUUUGAAAGUUUCUUAUAUGAGGAAUCUAUUUAUUUUUCUUGUUGUUUUAUGACUAGUGGGGCUUGUUUGAAUUUUUGAUGAGCUUAUAAUAUUUUCAUGCAUAAUAUUUUCAUGCAUAAUAUUUUCAUGUAUGGAAUUUCUUAAAUUCCGUAUAAAUGGAAAGGCAUAUAAAAUUUAAUUUCGUAUUAUUUUGUUCUUGGUCACUCAUUAAUUAAUUUAUUUUCCGUCCGCUCACACUAACGUUUUAAAUGCUUUUCCCUGGGCCCUUUGUUUUCAUAUGCUCAGAUUGCAGAGUUUCUGUUCGGCUUCACUAAGAGUUGAGGCAUAGUAUCUUCUGCUGCAUCUUGUUGAACGUAGGUUAUCUGUUAAUCUAUGUGUUAAUAUUUUAUUUUCUUCCUGUAGUGCUCUGAUGACCAUGGGGAAAUGUAAAUUAUGUUAGAGUUUUUAAAGGUUAUGACCCAAGUAGAGAGGUUUACUCUGGUGGUUGUUCAUGUUUAUGUAAUGUAGUUGAAUAUUUGGUUUGGAUUGCUUAAGUGUUGUUAUGACUUGGUUCAUGUUGUGAGGAGCGAAGGGCUCCAGGAGUUGUGGUUGAUUAUUAUAGUUGAAGUAUCUUAGUUUUAUUUCAGGUUGGGUUGUCCAUUUUUAGGGUUAUGCCAAAAUUUCAGUAUAAUCUCUUUUAGAGUGGACCCCGCAAGACUUGCAUGUUUUCUUAUGUGUUUUCGGGGUGGGUCUUGUUAGAACAAGUAGCUCUAUAUACUCUUCAAGAGAUGUCACAUUUGUUCAAUCAUUAGGAGAAAGUAGCCUCCUAAGAACAAAGAUAAAAAUAGUAGACUUAACUCAUCUAAAUAGUAGACAUGACUUAUGAUAACAGUAUACUUAACUCAUGUAAAUAGUAGACAUGAGUCAUGAUAAUAGUAACACUCAAAGAACCACUCCAUUGGCCUAACCUCCACUUCCCUUGGAUUGCCAGCGUGUCAUCGCUCUUGGCCGUCAAUUCUAAACUCAACCCUAAAAUCUCGAUCGCUCAUUCAUUUCACAUAAAGCACUACUCUCCAUUGGUCGAUCCCCAUGUCACUUGGAUCGCCACGUGUCAUGCUCUCAGCCGUCCACUCUAUAGCCUAAUUCAAAUCUCAACCGAUCAUUCAUUUCAUACAAAACACUACACUCCAAUUGGCCGAACCACAUAUGACCCGGAUCGCCAGCGUGUCAUCGACACAUUUAUUAUUAGAAAAAUCUAUUGUUUUCAUGAGAACUGUCUACCAUUUACAUGAGCAAAAACACCAAAAAGUAGACUUUCUGGAAAUCAAAAUGGUACUUGUGUUCGAAUAAUUUAGAUGGCAAAAGUUGCAAAAUCUACAACAUAAGCAACAUCUACCAUCUACAUAAACAAAAUCACAAAUAAAUAGACUUUCUGGAAAUUAAAAUGGUUCUUAUGUUCGAAUCACUUAGAUGGCAAAAGUUGCAAAGUCUACAACAAACAUAAGAAACAUUUACUGUUUUAAUAAGAAAGAUCUACCAUUUACAUAAACAAAAUCACAAAGAAGUAGCCUUUCUGGAAAUCAAAAUGGUUCUUGUGUUUGAACCAUUUAGAUGGCAAAAGUUACAAAGUCUACAACUAACAUAAACAACAUAUACUGUUUUAAUUAGAAAAAUCUACCAUUUACAUAAACAAAAUCACAAAGAAAUAGACUUUCUGGAAAUCAAAAUGGUACUUGUGUUCAAACCAUUUAGAUGACAAAAGUUGCAAAGUCUACAACUAACAUAAUAAAACAUCUACCAUUUACAUAAACAAAAUCUCAAAGAAGUAGACUUUCUGGAAAUUAAAAUGGUACUUGUGUUCGAACCAUUUGGAUGGCAUAAGUUGUUAAGUAUACAACUAACAUAAGACAUAUUUACUGUUUUCAUUAGAAAUAUCUACCAUUUACAUAAACAAAAUCACAAAGAAGUAGACUUUCUGGAAAUCAAAAUGGUACUUGUGUUCGAACCAUUUAGAUGGCAAGAGUUGCAAAGUCUACAACUAACAUAAGACACAUCUACUAUUUUCAUUAGAUAUAUCUACACAUAAGCAAAAUCACAAAGAAGUAGACUUUCAGGUAAUCAAAUCGGUACUUGUGUUUGAACCUCUGAAGGAAAAAUUUGCAAAGUCUACAUUUAUCAUUAGAAACAUCUACUGGUUUCAUGAAAAAUAUAUGCAGGGUUGUUUCCCUUUUUUUACACGUUGUUUUUUUGACACAUAAACUACAAUAUAUGUGGCAUAAUAUCAUCACUACAAGGAAUCACUACUCACUAUAGGGUUUUUUUACAUGUAACGUAUGUGUGCCCAGCCUGUUUGCAGUUACGGCAGUGUACAGUUCUCUUUGCAGGUGUUGCUACUAAAGGAGGGUCGUCGCUUCCUAACCCUGCUUCCGCUUUUUCAUGCUCUUUUCUUACCGGACAUGUUUGAAUAUUGUGUCCACCGCCUUUGUAAUAACCACAGGUAACCGUCCGUCUCGAUGGCUCAUUCUUUUUGUCGCUCUUUUCUCUGCCUUUGGUCUUAGAUGGGAUAGGAUCUCUCACAAUGAAACCUUUCUUGGUGGGUGUAGCCGUACCUUGCACUUUUUCUUGAUCUCUCGCCAAACCUUCCAUAAUUGCUGCUAGUCUAUCGAUCUCCAUAUUCAACAUGUUGUAGCCUUCUUGCAUCUUUGAAGCAUAAAAGCACAACCGAUUGCAAUCAGCAGUCAAAGCAUCAUACAUGCUACGACGAAAGAAAAGAAAACAAAUGUGUUCACAGACUAAUAUUACAGGUUCCUAUAUUACAUCUGACGAACCCUUACAUGUGUCCGUAAUUAAAACAACUAAAAUUCAAGCCAUGAACAUACCUACUCACUUGCACGGCUUCUUGGGGCAUUUCUUUGUUUGGAUAUAGGAUUUCACAAACACUUCUUGCGUCCCUCGACCACCUCUUCACUAUUAGUGACUUGUGAAGAUGAAAGAUGUUUUCGUUUUUCAUCACCGAGAACAUGUGACGACACGACACUCCCCUAUACUCAAACAUUCCGCAAGAGCACACCAUAAUCGGGUCUGCUGCACUUUCAGUCUCUUUCCGAGGGUAGUAGGUAACAGUGUGUUCAAAAUCAGGACGCUUGUAAACUGAUACCUUGUAAAGCCGGGAACCAUCUUCUUGACAUUUUGUUCCUUGCUUUAGUGUGAUAUGAGCCUCUUUCAUGAUCUCCCUAAAAAUACACUUAAACACGUCGUGUGUGAAUACAGAAGAUGCUUGUUUCUCCAAAUCUUCCAAGUGAGUUUUCGCACUAUGAAAUGAAUUUAUAGUGUUGAAAUCAUCCCUUUCUUGAUUGUUUCUAAUUCUCAUAAGUGUUCGGUCCACCAACGAAACAACCUGCACAAGGGUUUUGCUUUUCGAUAGGACAAGCUUGAAGUCUUUAUUCAUUCCCUCACACCUUUGUGUGCUUCUCAUGCCAGCCAUAAAUAUAUCAUGGAAGAAUGCUUAACAAAACUUUUCUCUCUUUUCAUACAUACUGUUGAUCCAAUCAUUGUCAUAGAGAUCAAAUUCGUCUAGCAUAUAUAUCCUGCCACAACCUAUCAAAUUGCUCAACCAUUUGAUACUUCCUAAUGCACCUGUUGAAAGCCUUCAACUUUUUCGUUAAUUUUAAGUGGCCAUUAGCAUUUUGACCUAUGUGCCAAAUACAGAGACGAUGCCUUGCUUCCAACAUCAUGGUUUGAAUUGCAGUACGCAUGGCCUCGUCUCCGUCUGUGAUUACAGCCUUUUGCAUUUUCCCGUUCAUCAAAUCCAGGAAUUUUCUAAGCAACCAAGUGUAAGUCUCCACAGUCUCAUCUGAAAGAAGAGCAGCACCGAACACAAUACUACCCCGAUGAUUAUUCGUCCCAACAAACAAAACCAAUGACAUGUUGUAGACAUUGGUUUUGUAAGUGCUGUCGAAUAUCAACACAUCCCCAUAAUAGUCAACAAAUGAAUGCACAUCUCGCCAAAACAUGUCCACCAUCCUAUCUUCUAAAUCUGCCGUGAAUCGGUAGAAGAAGUGAGAGUCUUUUGCUGCCAGUGCAUUCAUAUACGAAAGUGCGCCUUUAGAAUCACUCUCAAAUGGGGCGGUCCUUCGUUGCUGGUCAAUCUUGUUGUAGAGGUCCUUCACGGUAAAUCCCACUCUCCUAUAUCCCCCGCUCUGUUCGACCAUAUACUCAUAGGCGUGACAAGGUCUAAUUGACACCCUUGUCAUCGUAUUUUUUAGAGCCAAAAAUUCCUCGCCAACAUGUCGAUUAGUACGAAUGAAGGGGAUUUGGUUGCUAGUUGUCAGCAUGUGGUUAUGUUGAGGAAUGAAUGCCUUCACCACAUAAACUUUGGUUGCCUCACUAUAUCCAAUCCUCAGUUUAGCUCCGCACAAUGCUCUUGUCUCUCUCCGAGCAUAGCAACUGCUUUCUCAUUGUUCCAAGGACUUGUUUGCUUUUCGGGUUCCUUCCUUGUUGCAGACCCACUCCCUCCUCCGAAUCAAACCAUUAGACUCAGCCUUGUCACCCUUCCUUAUACCAAACCCAACUGCCACAGAAUAGGCAGCAUAGAAACUUUCUGCCUCAUCAACUGUAUUGAAUGUCAUGGCUUCAAUAUCAGAAACAGAAAAGUUUCCAUGUCUUGGGACGUGUACCUUUACAUCCUCAAAACCCGAAGAAGGUUGUUCUUCAUUCUCCGAUGUAUCCAUGGUUGGCUGUUCUUCAUUCCCAGAUGCAUCCAUACUUGUGUUUCAAUCAAUAUUUGCUUAACAAACUAAAUCCAACAAACAACAAACAUAAAGAGAUAUUGAAUCCAUGGUUGGCUGUUCUUCAUUCCAGAUAUUGGUAGACCGAAUUAGAAGACCUUGCUAAUGAUAGUGGUAGACCGAAUUGAAAUGCAAUACUCACCUACAAGAGACGUGAGAGUCUGGGAGUUUGAUCGAUUUGGAUUGAGAAAGCGAGUUUCUCGAAUUGAAUAAACAUAGAGAGAGAGAGAGAGAGAGAGAGGAGAGUUCAAAUCGGAGAGAGAAAGGAGAAGUGAGUCACUCCAUCAAUUUUAUGUUUUAAAUUUUAAAACAGUCAUAUGACCGGCUAAAGGGGUAGCAGGUCAUCAUUAAAAGGAAUGAACGAAUCACAAGCAGCCAUGUGGAUAAGGUAUCCAUACCUUAAGACACACAAGUAUUUGCCAAAAAUGAAAUGGAACCCUAAAACAUUUCUUAUUAUACUAGAAAUCCCAGAAGCCACAACACUUUUGUUGACCAUAACUUCCUUGUACGAAGUCUGUUUUACGUGUACCAUAUGUCUACGAACUCGUAUCGUCGUGCCCUACAACUUUUGUGAAGAAAGUUUCUCGAGAAAUGAUAAGACGUAUUUGCACACGCAUCAAUUAACCCUGUCAACAAAUCAGUCGUAGUAUAAAGCAAGCAGGGAUCGUUCUAAACCGGGGAUCCAACUACAGGGUAGAUCCAUCUAAUCUAAUGUAAAUAUCGAAAUAAGCAUAUAGGUUUAAAGGUUUUAUGAUUUCGGAACAACAUUAAUAAUAAAUCCUAAAUUACUUCUAUACAUAUAUACAUGUGAUCAACCAACAUUCAUGCAAACUCAACCAAACAACCAUGCAAGAAUAAAGAAGACGAUUUCUAAUCUCAUUUAAGUCUACACCGUGAGCAAAUAUACAACCUAAAUUUGAUAUGCACAUAAGUUCCUACGUGGUUCCUAUGACAUAGACCAACUUAGAAUUAGACUACGGGUUUCAUUCAACAUCGCGACACAACAAGCUCGGCUACAUGCUCUACUUAUGGUCACACACANNNNNNNNNNNNNNNNNNNNNNNNNNNNNNNNNNNNNNNNNNNNNNNNNNNNNNNNNNNNNNNNNNNNNNNNNNNNNNNNNNNNNNNNNNNNNNNNNNNNNNNNNNNNNNNNNNNNNNNNNNNNNNNNNNNNNNNNNNNNNNNNNNNNNNNNNNNNNNNNNNNNNNNNNNNNNNNNNNNNNNNNNNNNNNNNNNNNNGCAACUUAUCAACUACGUGUAUCAAAGUCGAACUUUGGAUGAUUAACACAUGCAAUAUCAACUACUUGUAUCAACUACACAUGAUAAUGGAAUAUAGCACCGAAAAUCUUAAAGUAUUUAGACAUAAAACUCACGGCAUAAAACCUCAAAUCAUUGAUUAUAAAUUGUAAACUUUAAUUCAUAACAUGGCUCAAAAGUACUUCUAUCUCAUAGACAAGAAUCAAAACAUACUUAAACAAAUACCUAAAGCAAACAAAAACAAGAACAAACACAUAGUAAUCCGAAAAUAGAAGAUGAAAUACACUCUCAAAAUAUCCCUACUUGUUCUAUUCUUCGAGUGCGCGGAGUCCUAGGCUACGUGCUUUGGACGAAUGCUGAAGGUGGGAUCGGAUUGUGGUGUUUGGAGGUUGAUGGAGUUUCGGCAAAGGCUUUGGUGUUAUUUGCACGGGUUGAUGAUGAUCUUNNNNNNNNNNNNNNNNNNNNNNNNNNNNNNNNNNNNNNNNNNNNNNNNNNUAUAGAGGAAAAACCCUAGAGAAGUCGGCCACAAAGCCUAAACCAAAUUGGUUUAGGAUUCCUAGUUUUUCUCCCUUUCGGCAGAAUGACCUCCGUCUGAUGAUUGCGUCAUAACUCCCUCUAGAAAACAGAUAUUGAGGUGAUUCCAAUUGAUUUGGAAACUAGACUCCCGUAGCUUUCUAUCCAUAUCUGGCACGUUUUCUGAUUCAUUGUGAGCUGUCUUGGAGAGUCCGUUGAAGUUGACAGACGUGCACAGGAAUUCUCCCGAUUUAAUCCGGAUUUUCAAGGGCUUGGAUAUUCUUGAAAUUCUGCCGAAUUUAGAUCUUCUUCUCCAUAUUGGACUUGGUUUGGACCUCUCCUUCAUGGACUAGGCUUCGAGGAAAGAUGGAAUCUUGAUCAAGACAGGAAUCCUGAGUAAACAAGGAUUUCCAACACUUAGCACAAUUUCAACACCACAUUGAUCAAUUCCGAAAUUACUAUGUAUUCUAACAUUAAAAACUACAUAUUUCUAAAUUAAGCAAUUAUUCUAUACUAAACACAAAUAUAAAGCUAAAACAACUAAAUAGGAGUUAACAAAGGGUAAAUAAAGGGUAUAAACAUAUUAAGAACGUCACACUUUGUGCUCCUAUCAAGAAACCCAACAAAUAAAAAGUCAACUCUAUGACCCUUAAAGAAAAUAGAACAGUUUCGGGUAAUUUAUGUGUCCGAACACUUCCGCCCUUCCUUCGAACCUCAAAACACACUAACUUCUAACUUGAAAAUUCUGAAAUAAUAUUAGAAACUAAUAUCAAAUUUUCGGGGUAUUACAUCGAAACUCUGCCUCAGCACUUGAUCUAGAAAUAACUUUAUGUUUUUUUACUACACCAAAGUAACAAGGUUUCCUCCAACAAAUGCAAAAUACUCAGAUGUAGAUCAUAUGUCGAUCUUAUUACCAGCCCAAUCAUCAUAUCUAUGUACCCUACAACCUCCAAAAAUAAUCAUCUUUUUUUAUUCAAACAACAAGCAUCUUUCAUGUGCCAUCUUAAGAUACCUCAAAAUAUGAUAUACUGCAUCCAGACAUAACUUCUAUUGGUGUACAACGAGAAAUACUAAGAAAUUAUAUAAUUUAGUACUUAACUUCUAUUGUUCGGCAAGUAGGCAAACAAGAUGAUCACUAGAUUAGGUGAAAACCCCUAAAAUCCCCGAGGGGCUUCAAAGGGAUACAUCCCAACAAAAAUGAGCCAUAACCCAUCCUAACAAUGAUCUCAUGCACCGACGUAGCCCUGGACAACCUUGAGCGACCAUCCAACUGAUCUUUACACAAAUUGACAGCCCAAAUUUUCUUUCAAGCUUUGAACCAAAUCCAAAGCAAGAGUCUGUCGAAUUGAAAACUCGAAUGAUUCUCGUCCGGCAGCACGACCAUGUGACGUCAGCGUAGUCAAUAGACUAGCCUAGUCAUGCCUGUCGCUGAACGAGGUUAAAAACUCGUUCAUUUAGAAGCCUUUGCAAUCGCUCUAGGGGUUUUGGUUGUUUCAUGUGGUCUCUUUCGUGCUCUUCUUCCUCUUAUUAUUAGUUUGAAGGUUGUAAAUAGGUCUGAGGAAAUAUAUAUUUUUUUUUUUGGAAAACAUAUAUGGGUUUGAGGCAUAUAACUUGUUUGAACAUGUUUGACUGACUUAUUUGAAAUACUGAACUUAUAGUUUAGCACUUUGAUAAACUAUAGUAUUACGGAUAAUAAGUUUUGUAACCAGAGCCACGCCAAAACAGUAUAGUUUCCAAACAAGCGAUGUUUUUAUAUAUUUUUAUAAGAUGUGGUUUUAAAAAAUAAAAAACUGAAGCUCCGGGUUCAAGUUUUGGUUAGUACCUAAAAACCAAACAGUUGAGACCGAGUGCUACCCUAGUUAAGGGCGCAACACUUGCUUACUUCACGUUUACACUUUCCUCUUUGACUCUAAAUGAAAUUAGGAUUAGGUGCUCUUAAUUUUGGCAAUUAGGAUUGUCUUAGAAGAUUUAGUUUGUAAUCCCCAUUGUACUUAUCGGUAAAAAAAACACACACAUGUCGGGUCGGGUCGGAACAGACCUUUUCGGAUCCCUAAACCCUUGCUUCAAAUCAAAAAAACUCUUGUGACUCUCCUUUUCUCUCUGGAGACUGAAAAUGAGGUCUUUGCCGUCUCUGCAACUCCGGCGACUCCUUCUCCGCUCUCUCUCCACCUCCGCCUCUCCUUCUCCAACCUUCAACCAAACCCCCGUCCCAUUUCUCUCAACCAACCCCACCCGCCAUGCCCCCAAUCCAAUCACCACCUCUCACUUCCCCUCUCUUCCCCGUUUCUCUCUCACCUCCAAACCCUUCUCAUCUUCUUCUUCCGAACCCCAGUUAGCCCAAUCCAUCUCCUCUCACCUUCUCCAUCAACCACAACCCGAAUGUGCUGACGUCACCAAAACCCUCCAAUCAAGCUUCCCCAACGUCACCCCUACCCCUUCUCUGGUUCUCUCCGUCCUCAAUCUCUCCGCCGAAGCCGGCCGCGCCGUUCUAGGCUUCAACCAAUGGCUCAUCCACAACCCGAGGUUCGACCACACCGACGAAACCCUCUCCUACUUUGUGGACUAUUUCGGCCGGAGGAAGGAUUUCAAAGCCACCCAUGACGUCAUUCUCAGUUCCCGUGACGUCGCCGGGCCGAAAACCCUGGCUGCCUCCAUUGACAGGCUGGUGAGAGCUGGGAGGCCGGCGCAGGCGGUUUCGAUGUUUGAGAAGAUGGAGGAGGAGUAUGGGAUCAAGAGGGACAAGGCGGCGCUGAGAUUGGUUGUUGAGAAGCUUUGCGAAUACGGAUUUGCGAGUAAUGCUGAGAAGAUGGUGAAAGGUUUGGUGAAUGAGUUUUUCCCUGAUGAGUAUAUGUGUGAUUUGCUUAUUAAGGGGUGGUGUGUGGAUGGGAAGCUUGAUGAGGCUAGGAGAUUGGCUGGGGAGAUGUAUAGGGGAGGCUUCGAGAUUGGGACUAGUGCUUUCAAUGCUAUUCUGGAUUGUGUUUGUAAGCUUUGCAGGAAGAAGGACCCGUUUAGGCUGCAUUCCGAGGCGGAGCAGAUCUUGGUGGAUAUGGACUAUCAUGGGGUGCCGAGAAAUGUGGAGACUUUCAAUGUGCUGAUUACUAAUUUGUGUAAGAUUAGGAAGACCAACGACGCGUUGAAUUUGUUUCAUAGGAUGGGGGAGUGGGGGUGUUCUCCGAACGAGACUACCUUUCUUGAACUGACCAGGAGCUUGUAUCAGGCAGCUCGAGUUGGGGAGGGAGAUGAAAUGAUUGAUAGGAUGAAAUCAGCAGGGUUUGGGGAGGCUCUUGAUAAGAAGGCCUAUUUUGGGUUUCUGAAGAUUUUGUGUGGCAUUGAGAGGAUUGAUCAUGCUUUGUCUGUUUUCAAGAAGAUGAAACAGGAUGGAUGUGAGCCCGGGAUCAAAACUUACGAUCUGCUGAUGGGAAAGUUGUAUGCUCAGAACCGUGCUGAUAGAGCCACUGCCCUGUUUAAUGAGGCGCAAAAGAAAGAGGUGCCUGUGACACACAAGACAUACCAGGUGGAUUCCAAAUACUUGAAGAAGCCGAAGGCUAAGAAGGAAAAUACGAGGGAAACCCUUCCUGAGAAGAUGGCAAGGAAGAGGAGGCGUCUUAAGCAAAUCCGAUUGAGCUUCGUAAAGAAGCCCAAAAAAGGGAUGCGCCGAGCCUACUGAUGUUUUAAAAGUUGGAAUGAACACAUUUGCAUGAGGAAUGAUAGUUUGAUCAGUUCCAAAUUUUUUUGAUGUUUCAUGUUGUUGACUUUGCUCUUUUUGUGCUUUCAUAGUAUUGUUUGAGUUUGUGACAUUAGAAAUAAAAUAUUUCCGUCUAAACUUGUGCCAGACCGUAUUGUACUGCUUAUCUAUCACUAACUAAGUAUACCACAGAAGUGGCAGUUAAGUCUUUGCACACGAGGAGACUGUUGAUGGGAAUGACCGCAUUCUAACUCUUACGAGGACCUUUCAUGGAAAGAGAACCAGUUUUUGAGGUGUGUUCAUCUGAAGCUAUUUUUUUUUUUUUUUCUUUGUUCCUGAUUCACUUAAUUAUAGGGCUUAAGCCUUAAGAGAUAAAUGCCAAAAGGAACAUAAGUCUUGAGAGAUGUUUUAUGUUGUGCUUAAGUCUUAAGAGAUGAAUGCCUAAAGGAAAAUAAGUCUUGAGAGAUGUUUCAUGUUGUGAGAUAUCAAUGACAGCUGUUUCUAUGUACUCUAUUCAUAGGUUUGCUAGAGUUUUUAGCUGUCUUCUCUCUUCUUGCAAACAUAAUUAUAUCCUUGCGCUUGUUUUCUUUUGUCAGACCCUUAAUUUUUGCAUACGAAGUUUUGCUUUUUAUGUGACUUUGCACCCAGGACAUUAUUAUUAAGACAUGCCCAUAUAGAAUUGAAAGAAAAAUUAAAAGUGUGUAAGCUUUGAAGGCAGCCCUGCUUCUUCCCUUCUAAUAAUACCAGGGCUGCAGUUUGUUAGUCAUAUAAUUCCCAAAUGAAGUAACCAAUCGGUCAUUUUGAGUAGUAAAUUUCAACAUCUAAAAUUUGACAUGGAAAGCUGCAGGUUUUAGGUUGAUCAUUGUGGAUCAAACUGAAACAUAACAAUCUGUUGAUAGAAACCACAAGGUACUCUGAGUAACUGUCAUACAUGCAUAUUGAUUGAGUUUUUAUUGAAUAUUAUUAUGCACGCACUAUUGGAUUAUGUGGUUAGUGUAGUUAAUAUAUCAUCAGCGAUUCAACGCUACUGAGAAAUAUUAUUGUGAUUUAGGACUUUAGGAAUGAGAGUUAUGUCUUAUUAGGCUCCCUGCAAACAUAGAGUUCCCCAGGAAGAGUUCCAAGGCUGUACUACUGACUUUGCCAUUGAACACACACACUUAUUCUUCCGAUUUUCUUUUUGUAUUUCUUUUAUAGUUGUUACAGCAGAUAGGUCUGCGAGUUAUUGUAUCGGAACUUUAUUUUACUUUCGAUCACCAUUCUUGAUCAAAUUUAGAACGGAAUUCUCUCAUUUCUUGUGAGCUGUUAUAGUAUUGCACAUGUGAAUUCCUUAAUCUAGGGAUAUGUUGGUCCUGGUAUUGAUGUGGUUUAUCUUUUACUAAAGCUCGCGGUAUUUAACAGAGUUUUGCAAGUCGUAGCAUUGAACUAUUUUUUUUUUUUUUUAAUCUUUUUCAAUGUGGCAAGGUGGUAACUUAAUUCUUAAAUUAGAUCAGAACUUAAGAAUGCAUACUUCUGCACUAGUGAUGUACUUGGAUUUGAUGGUACAACUGAAAAUAUAUCAGAACAUGUAGUUUCAGUGUUUCACUGCGAUUUAGAAAGGAAUUGUUACAAUUAUUGACUCCCGCCAUUUAGAAAGGACCUGUCACAUUGAGAUUCUUCUACUAGUGAGGAAUCCUGUUGAGUUUCACCUUCCCUAUAAUCUAGUUGUCAAUUUAGCAAGACUGAAGUUCCUUUCUGCUACUUGAUCCUCCUUUCUGAUGUUUUCAACACCUGAACCUACUAAAACCACCACCCAUCACACAAAUUGGGUGACUUUUUACCCUUCACUAUGUGCUCUGGAAUUGUGUCAGUUAAAAUCGAAAUAAUUACUGAGGUUGGGUUCUCACGUGAAAUCUACUUGCCCAAACAGACUAGCCUAAAUUUCAGAGGUGCCUUAGUUAGUAGAGUACCCCAACAGAAUGUUUAGAGCAUCAAUUGUUGGUUGUAGCUUGCAAGUUAUAUUUAGACUUUUGGAUAUUUUGUGUGGCUGUGUUCUUCAGUUCUUCAUUCUUAGUAAUCAGUUUAAGAACCACAUUAAAAUGUAGUAUGAUGCAUUUUAUUGUCCUUUCAGUUUAAGGACAAUGUUACUGCGCUUGGUGAAAUCGGAACAGGAAAAAGAAGGAUGUGAUGGCGAAUGUUGGUUAUAAGUGAAAAUGGUGGGAAUGAUCAUGGGAUUUUGGAUUUUGCAGGUGGAGGUGUUGUUAUGUUGAAUGACGGAGGUGGUGGCAGUGAUGACACUCUUGUAGAUGGUGAGACUGCUUGUAGGUGAACACAGUGCAUUUAAGUAACAAUCAUAGGAGUUUCAUGUGGCUUAGAGUUGUUGCAGUGGUGCUUAAGAGCUUCAAGUUUGUUCCUUUAGGGUCUCAAUAGUCUUGGAGUCUUGGACCUGGAUGGGUAAUUGGCUGUGUUAGUUUAGGGAGACAGAAAGCUACGUGUAGCCAGGGCUUGUAUGUUUUAGGGUUUCAAUAGUCUCCGGGUACACUUCUUGAUGUGCAAAUUCAUGUGCAAGUUUAUGCGAUGUCUUAAUGUUUGUUCUGCAACUAGUCAAAGACACAACAAUUACUAAAAUCACUGUAACUAUGAUAUCAAUAACGAUUUAUAAUAGGGUUUGUGAAGCUGAACAAGCACAUCUGGAGAACAAUGAUGAAAUGAAAUCAAAUUCAGCAUCUGUUUGUUGGGGAAGGAACUCCGACCUCCCAAAGUACACUCAACAUGAUUGGUGCCACAGAGUUGGAUGCCAUAUUAUUAUAAACAAUAUCAAAUAGCAAGUGUAGAAUAUUUGUAAAUAAUUACUUUCCUUGUAUGUGUAGGUUAAAUAUUUUAUAUAGAUGUAGGAGAUAUUUUUCCUAUUAGCAUUAUAAUUGUAUCUCUAUAUAAACCUCUAAUAUGAAGACGAAUACAUAUUGAAGCAUUUCAAAUCAUAUUGAAUCCUUAUUUUCUACUUGGUAUCAGAGCUUGUCAGGUUCGAUUUUUUCAAUUUACACCUAAAACACCACAAAUCGCUGUGUACCAAAAACCUCACAGAUCACACAAAUUCUCAAAGCCCAAAACCAAACCUAAAUCCCAAAUCACACCAUAAACAAAUCGUUGCAUACAUCAAAAUCAUAAUUCCUGAAUCCUUGAAUCUCAAAAACCAAACCUCCAAAAAUGGCACACCAAAUCAACUACCAUACCAUCGCACCAUGCCGGUCUCCAUGCAAACCAAAUUCAUAUGCGACCUCAAAAUGUCCGCUAUGUGGAGUAUUAGGUCAUAGCAAGCAACAUUGCUUUGAAACAAUUGGGUACCAGGAUUGGUGGGAUUUCACCCUGAAACCCCGGAAGAAUCAAGCAAAAGUUGUCAUAACCACUACAGAGAAAGACCAACCAUCCAAUGCCUCCAAUGUCACACAGUCAAAUAUGAGUGGUAAGGUAUCUAUGAAUAGGUCCUGGAUUAUUGAUACAUAAGCAUCAGAUCACAUAUGUAAUGAUCCUAGCCUCUUGAAAACAUUAAAACCCUCUCAAAAUAUUGUUUCUACCGCUGAUGGUACUCCAACUCCUGUUACCGGAAAAGGCUCUAUUGUCCUAUCAAAUACAUUAACCAUUGAUUCUGUAUUAGUCGUCCCUUCAUUGUCAUACAAUCUUCUCUCAGUUGGUCAAAUCAUUCAAGAAUUAUCAUGUAUUGUCAUCUUUUAUCCGUCUUUCUGUGUAUUUCAGGACAUUCUAACACGGCGGAUUUUGGGUUAUGGAGUGAGAAAAGGGAAAUUGUACUACCUAGAUCUGACAGAGGCAGGAGAGAAACAUAUGCAGUCUUUGGGUCAAGCUAAUCAUGUCAAUAGAGAUGAGAGUGCUACGAAAGAUGUAUGGCUUUGGCACCGCAGGUUGGGUCAUCUAAACUUCAGUUAUCUUAAGAAGCUGCAACCGCAAUUAUUUUCGGGUGUCGACUAUUCAGAUUUUCAUUGCGACAUAUGUGAACUGGCCAAGAGCCACCGUAUUUCAUAUUCACCAAGCCUAAAUAAAAGUCUUGUUCCAUUUAUGAAGAUUCACUCUGACGUGUGGGGUCCUGCAGAAAUUCCUUCUCUCUCUAGCGCCCGGUAUUUUGUGACGUUUAUUGAUGAUUGUACCCGUACGACUUGGGUGUCUCUAUUGAAGAACAAGAGUGAUGUUUAUUCUAGAUUCAAAGAAUUUCACAAGAUGGUGGCCACACAGUAUCAACAGGUUGUUCGAGUUUUCCAGUCUGACAAUGGCGAAGAAUAUAUUAAUGGUCCUAUGCAAGAGUUUAUGAAGUUACAUGGAAUUCGACAUCAGACUUCAAAUACUUAUACUCCUCAGCAAAAUGGAUUGGCAGAGAGGAAAAAUCGGCAGUUGCUUGAAGUUGUCCGUGCCUCUUUGUUUGGCAUGAAUGUACCUGUAGAAUAUUGGGGAGAAGCUGUGACAUCUGCUGCCUACCUCAUUAAUCGUACCCCUUCUCGGGUUAUUGAAUGUGAAAACCCUCUACAACAGCUUCAAAAUCUUCUCUCGGUUCCUUCGUCGCCUAACUUGGAGCCUCGUGUAUUUGGAUGUACAGUGUAUGUUCAUAUCCAAAACAACAACGGAGUAAGCUUGAUCCCCGUGCAAGGAAGUGUAUCUUUGUGGGUUAUGCAGAUUUUCAAAAAGGAUAUAGAUGUUAUGAUCCUCUUACAGACACCAUGCAUGUAUCUCUUGAUGUUUCUUUUCGUGAAUCUAAGCCUUACUACUCAGGGGGAGUAUCUGAGUCUUCCCUUCAGGGGGAGAAAGGUUGUGAAGGGAAUUCUAGACAUUUAUUUGAGUUUGAAGAAUUUGAAGAGUUGGAAACUCUGGAGUCCAGAUUUGGAAUUGACAAAGUUACAAACAAUAAUAGUCAUGGAAUUGAUGCACAUGACGCAGAUGUCACAUGGUGGCCGACAUGAGGACCCCACCAGCUGAGCCGCACAUCUCUGAGCCAAGCCAAGGUUCUUCAGGUGGAGAAACACAUGGAACCCGUGUCUAUGCUGAGCCGCGCAUCCCUGAGCCGAGUCGACCAAGCCAAGCUGGGACCCCAACUGAAGAGGCAAUUGCACGUGUCGACAGUGACACUGGUCCCGCUCUUCAGCUGACCUCUGAUCCUCCGACGCGUGUCAACAGCGACACCGGUUCUACACUUGUCCCUGCAACAGUCUCGAGACCCACAGAUUUGACAGAAAAUUGUCCUGAAAAUGCUUCGUCAGAUAUUUUCCCUUUCUCAACACCAUUAACCCAAGAAUCUGCUGCGAAUGUCCCUCCUCAGGUACCUUUAAAUUCAAACCAAUUAUAUGAGGUAGAUAAUUCUGUAACUAGGAAAUCACAAAGGGUCACCAAGGGUAUUCCAAAGAAACAAUAUGAACCAGACAUCAAAGCCAAAGCUAAAUAUCCUAUAGCUAAUUACAUGUCUAAUCAUAGGUUGGUUGGGUCACAUGCUCUUGUCAUUAAUCAAUUAUCCAGUGUUUCUAUUGCUAGUAUUGUACAGGAUGCAAUGACGGAUCCCAAGUGGACUCAGGCGAUGAACGAAGAAUUAGAGGCAUUACAGAAAAACUCGACUUGGGAUAUUGUGCCUAAACCAGCUGGGAAGAAGACAGUUGGAUGUCGUUGUGUAUUCACCGUAAAAUUGAAAGCAGAUGGGAGCAUUGACAGGUAUAAAGCACGGUUGGUUGCCAAGGGAUACACCCAGCGGUAUGGCAUUGAUUAUGAAGAAACGUUUGCGUCUGUAGCAAAGAUCAACACUGUACGAAUCUUGAUUUCACUUGCAGCAACUAAAGAUUGGCCUCUGUGACAAUUUGAUGUGAAGAAUGCUUUCCUCAAUGGAAACUUGGAGGAAGAGGUGUAUAUGGACAUGCCUCCAGGAGUCAAAAGUAGACCGUGUGAUGCUGGCAAGGUUUGUAAGUUGAAGAAGUCCUUGUAUGGUUUGAAGCAAUCUCCUAGAGCUUGGUUUGGAAGAUUCUCCAAAUCAAUGAAGACAUUUGGUUAUAAACAAAGCAACUUGGAUCACACUUUGUUCAUCAAGCGUAACCAGGGUAAGAUCACCGCUCUGAUUGUGUAUGUUGAUGAUAUGAUUGUCACAGGGGAUGACCCAAAGGAGAUGGAGGCUCUACAAAAGUAUCUUUCAAAGGAGUUUGAGAUGAAGGACCUUGGACAGUUGAAGUAUUUUCUCGGAAUUGAAGUUGCAAGGUCAAAGAAUGGAAUUUCUUUAUCCCAGCGAAAGUAUGUACUUGACUUGUUAGCUGAAACCGGCAUGCUUGACUGCAAGCCUGUUGAGACACCAAUUGAGAUGAAUCACAACCUUGCCAUCUAUCCAAAUCAAGUUCCAACUGAUAAACGAAGGUACCAACGUCUAGUAGGGAGACUUAUUUAUCUUUCUCAUACUAGACCUGAUAUUGCUUAUGUUGUGAGUGUGCUUAGUCAAUUUAUGCAUUAUCCCAACGAAGAGCAUAUGGAUGCAGUGUAUUGUAUUCUAAAGUAUCUUAAGAUGGCACCUGGAAAAGGUUUGUUGUUUGAAAAGAAGAGGGGUGAAUUGGAAGUUGUAGGGUACACCGAUGUUGAUUGGGCUGGUGAUAAGACAGACAGACGAUCUACAUCUGGGUAUUUUACAUUUGUUGGAGGAAACCUUGUAACUUGGCAUAGUAAGAAACAGAAGGUUGUUGCCAGGUCAAGUGCUGAAGCAGAAUUUCGAGGUAUGGCACAUGAAGUUUGUGAGAUGUUAUGGAUUCGUAAUGUGUUGAAAGAAUUGGGUUUUAAACUCAAACAACCUAUGGCCUUGCAUUGUGAUAACACGUCUGCAAUUGAAAUUUCUCAUAAUCUUGUUGAACAUGACCGGACCAAACAUGUGGAGGUAGAUCGGCAUUUUAUCAAGGAAAACUUGGACAGGAAAAUAAUAUGUUUCCCUUUUGUGUAUACAGAAGACCAAUUGGCAGAUGUUCUUACGAAAAGAGUAUCAAGGAAAGUGUUUGACGACUCAGUUGGCAAGUUGGGCAUGAUUGAUAUCUAUGCACCAACUUGAGGGGGAGUGUAGAAUAUUUGUAAAUAAUUACUUUUCUUGUAUGUGUAGGUUAAAUAUUUUGUAUAAAUGUAGGAGAUAUUUUUCAUAUUAGCACUACAAUUGUAUCUCUAUAUAAACCUCCAAUAUGAAGAAGAAUACAUAUUGAAGCAUUCCAAAUCAUAUUGAAUCCUUAUUUUCUACUCAAGGAGGAGAGCGAGCUAGCAGAGACCAUUAAUUGGUGGCAGAAUCCAAGUUGCAGGUUCUGAUAUGUGCUCUUCUGAAGAAUGCUGAGGGUGACAUUGUAGAGGAGCAGUAGUUCCCUGCUCUAAAUAGAAAAUCCCCAUAUCACAUUGGCAACAACUAUUAAAAUUUAGAUAAGCAUCUUCCAUAGUUAUCAAAUCACUUGUGCACUGUAUGGAGUUUGGUCUGCACCAAGAGAAUCUUGAGGCCGAAACAGACAUUGACUGAUUGUCACCAACAAACAGAGUCUGAUCUCCAAGGGUUUUCACUUGCUGCACAACAUAUUUACUGUCAUCAAAUACCAACUUGUAAACCUCGAAAGUGAGAGUCACAAGCAUUGUCAACUGACCCCAUUCUCUUUGUAAAAUCUUCGAACGUGCAAAAGCUCUCCUGUAGUUGAUUCCACAAGAUAUGAUUGAGAACCUGAGCGCAUGUAAGUAGUAGUAUUAUCAUUGCCCUUAGUGAAUUACCAGAAAUGUAGCUAUUAACACCGAAGGACACGAUUCUUCCAAGAUUCUUGUCAAACUGCGUAUACCAGACCUUUAUAGAAGUAGAUAGCAUCAGUAAUUUUGCAUACUGUUCAACUGUUUCUAUGGAACUCCAAAGCAAUUGCCCUCCUCUAAUGAAAGCAAGGUGUAAAAUGGUACAACCAUAAAAAUGUUGCCCCAAUUAACAAAAGGAUCCCCUAACAAGAUGAGCUUUGAGAACUGCCCAUCUAGGAAAAAAAAUUAUAGAUACUUAAAUGAGCCCUUUUCUCAAUAUCACGAGUAUGGCACUAUGGCUACAAAGUGUGAGCAUAGAUAAUAUCAAUAGAGGGUUUUCAAAAUCUCUAGCUUUACUUCAUCUGGUCUGUUUCAAAUCGUAUUCAUAAUUCAUGCAAGAGAUUCAUGUGGAAUGCUUAUUGCUAUAGACUAUGGUAAAAGGUGCAUAAAUUUUUGGUAAAAUAUAUAUAGAGAGAGAGAGAGGAAAUUUUACUAAGGAUAUUCAUGUCGUCGCUGAAUCGGUGUGGGCUUGAGGAUCUUCUUCUGCUACUCGGUCUCCUUCUAAGUGCUGAGCUUUUAAGCUAUCGGUGAAAAAUAAACACGACGGGUGAGCGGCACCAAAAUGUAUUGUUUUUCCCUCAUUAUGUUUAACGGUCUCAACUCUAAUUGGCGGUUGGCGGGUUUUGCUUCCAGAGAAGGCUUACGGUCCACUUUGCAAGAUUGCCAAGGUUGAAUUGUCAGGCAGCGGGGGGUGGGGUUGUCCUCAUACGUUCGCCUAAAUCAUAAACUUUUUUUUCCAAAAGAAUCUCUCUACGGUGUUCAUAUCGUCUUGACUCAAAUUCUCACAGGGUAUAUCACUCGCCCAAACACCCAACCAUAUCAUAUAUGGGAGUUACGUUUACACUAUCAAAGACCUUGUUUAACAAUAUAAUUUGUAAACUUUUUGAUGCCUGCUCGAUCAUAGUCGAAAAAUCCAAUCGUUGGAAACCCAAAAUUGUCUUAAGAAUCUUUUGAUGGACAUGUCGGGCGUUCCCAUUCCAGUGAUGAUUAUGUAUGGAUAAUCAACAUAAAACUUACUUUACAUGAUCAUAAAACAUCAUCUGUAAUGAUCUCGUUCAAAGUAAGUUUUAUGUAGAUUAUCCAUAUGCAUAAUCAUCACAGGAAAGGGAAUGCCGGACGUGGCGACCAAGGGCUUCUUUAAGCUAUUGUGGGACAAUUUGGGCUUCCAGCGUAUGGGCUCUUCGACUGUGAUCCAGGAGACAUCAGAAUGUUUACAAAUUAUUAUGUUGGGAUGUAUAACAAGGUAUUCGAUAGUGUAAACUUAACUUGCCCUCUUAUCUAACAUGGUUGGGUGUUUGAUAUACCUUGCGAGAACUUGAGUCAAGACUAAGAACGCAGAGAUUCACUUGAACUCUUAUUUAUAAAGCUAGGUUCUCUGUUACUUUCGUAUUAGGAAUAUCAAAUUUCUAUUCGGAUUAGGACAAGAUUCUCCUAACCAAAUAAUAAAAUCGAUUCCUUAUGUGAUCUUGAAAUCAAGAAUAUCAUAUUUCUAUCCGGAUUAGGACAAGAUUCUCCUAACUGAAUAAUGAAAUUGAUUCCUUAUGUGAUCCUGAAAUCUUCAGCCAUCAAUUACCCAAUAAGAAAGUAAAAGAUAUUUAGACUGCAUGUAUCGGUCCGCGUAUCAGAAAUUCAUAAUAAACUUAGAUACGAUAUUUAGGCAAAGUCACUAGUUUUACUUCAUCUAGUCUAUUUCAAAUCAUAUUCAUAAUUCAUGCAAGAGAUUAGAGGUUUUUUUUUUUGGAGCGGCUAGUUCUAUCCCACUAAAUGCUUAGUUCACCUUACAACUGCCAUUUUUUGUGAAUAUUCCCUUGUUGCCCUUACGUAAAAUAUUUAAAAAGUAAGAAAAUAGAACAAAUGGCCGGAAUGUCAUAACAUCAUAUCUGUAGCAAACCAUAUAUAGCCAAUGUUGCUGCACGCAGAUGUACUUUAUCAGCCGGUGGUGGGGGACGUGCAGCCAACCAAGUCCUUGGUCUAUGAGGUCAAGUUGCUGAGGCGCAUAUCAAGCGUGGUCUGUGCACGGCUGCCUUGGAGCCAAUUUGAUCAUCUAUUGCAUGUCCCAAAGCUUCAAAAGUUUAUUCCUUGUCAUUGUUAUGCUUAGCCACUAUAUGCAUGCCUACAAUGAGUCAAUAAUAGCAAUACCAUAAGUGAAUUUGAUUAAUCGAAUAUACUUUGCAUAAGGUAUAUGGAUCGUAAGUUCUUGAUGAAUAUGUACCCUAAUAUCAUUGGUGCAGGUUGAUCUUA